Molecule: long non-coding RNA, 84483 nt
Filed under: Triticum aestivum (bread wheat)
Lineage: Eukaryota; Viridiplantae; Streptophyta; Magnoliopsida; Poales; Poaceae
Description: long non-coding RNA (TAES_LNC009586)
Source: RNAcentral
CAAGUUCUUCUACCUCCCCCAAUAGGAAAGAAGGCACCACUGAUGCUGCUAAGAUGUUCACCAAGAAGGCUGAAACCGCUACCACACCUGAAGAGGCCGCGGCUGCCAAGCAAGCUGCAGCCAAGUCUACCGCUGCUGCAUCAAAGUAUGGUGUCAUUUCUCAGCAAGUAGCUGGUACAAGUUCUUCUACCUCCCCUAGCAGGAAAGAAGCUGCCGGUACCUUGGCAGGUGCUCGCAUAGCUGCUGCCGAGAAGUCCAUCAAGAAGGCUGAAACCACCACAAGACCUGAAGAGGCAACAUCCGCUAAGAAGGAUGCCGCGAAAUCCGAGGCUGAUGCAAUGAAGUACGGGGCCAUCUCUCAGCAGGCCGCCGGCAAAAAUGGUGCCUAAGUGGUGCCUUAAACACCUAUUCACACGCAACAUCAUCUACAUACUACCAUGCAUGCAAAAUAGCAGCAUUCAGAUACCACAUUAUGCUAAUUCUCAUGCAUGCACGCUUUGUUUAAACGUUCCCAUUACGAAUCAUGUAUUAAUGUCUUGCUUGUUUUAUUUUUAGUAGUAAGACACGCUUGACUUGCUUUAAAAAAAAUACAACAAUCGACGUAUACAUGUAUUAUCUGAAAAUUAAUAAUAUGAGUUCCACCGCAAUUUGUUUCUUUUUGUCAUAAUUUGGGUGCAAUCAAUGCACACAUCCAAUACACAAAAUUGGACGACUCAAUGUGUUAUGGCUCCAUGGAGCGGCGAAUCAUGUUUUAUUGUCUUGCUUGUUUUACUUUUAGUAGUAAUGUCUUGCUGGUCAAUGUAUUAUGGCUCCAUGGAGCGGCAUAAUGAUAUAUGAUAUAUCUUCACUACUUCAAAAAGAACUUAAGGUUUUGUCAUACAUCUUUCCUUCAUCCAUCCUCCCUACGAAUCCUUCCUGUUUUGAUUUUUUCUCCCAUCUUUGAUUUUUCUCCCCAUUGAUUCUACCUAAAAACCACCUCAAUGUCACAUGUUUACUGUAUAUGUCAAGGCCUCCUUUGGUUCAUAGGGUAGAAAAAACAUAGGAAUAGGAAAGUCAUAGGAAAUGAGAUGACAUGUAUCUCAAAUCCUAUGAUUGGGAAUAGGAAAGGAGAUGCCCUUUGAUUCACAUCAUAGGAUUUUUUCAUUGAAUCUAGGCUAAUGUUUAUUUUCCUAUGAAAUGUGAAGGAGAGGAAGAAUUCCUCCAUAGGAUUAGGAUUCCAUUCCUACAAACCAAAGGACUCUAAAGGAAUUUUUCCUAUAGAAAUCCUAUCCUAUGAAAUUCUUACAAGAUUCCUCCAAAUCAAAGGAGGCCCAAGUGGUUGUGAUGAGACAGUGGCUGGGCACUUCAGAUUUAUUCCCGUAACUGACUGUCAAAUUGAGUCAUCUGUCAUCCUUUCGAUGAUUGUAAGAAAGUUAUAUGUUUAUUGUAUGUGCCAAGUGGUUGUGAUUAUCGUUACCGGCCACAAAGUUAUAUUUUCUUGUCUUAACGAAGGGUUGCAUACAAUGCGUGUAGCUCUUGACGCCUGAUAACCCACAAGUAUAGGGGAUCGCAACAGUUUUUGAGGGUAGAGUAUUCAACACAAAUUUAUAGAUUCGACACAAGGGAGCCAAAGAAUAUUUGUAAGUAUUAACAACUGAGUUGUCAAUUCAACCACACCUGAAGAUUAAUUAUCUGCAGCAAAGUGAUCAGUAGCAUAGUAGUAUGAUAGUUUUGAUAGUAGUAGCAACAUCAACAGUAACGGUAACAGUGGUAGCAAUGGUUUUGUAGCAGUGACAAUAGUAACAGCAGCAGCAGUAACUUAGCAAGAACAAUAUGUACGAAAAUCGUACGCAUUGGAUCGGUGAUUUGUUGGAUGAUAUUCAUCAUGUGACAGUUACAACCUAGGACGAUACGGCACUAGCUCCAGUUCAUAAAUAUAAUGUAGGCAUGUAUUCUAUAAAUAAUCAUACGUGCUUAUGAAAAGAACUUGUAUGACAUCUUUUGUCCUACCCUCCUGUGGCAGCGGGGUCCUAUUGGAAACUAAGGGAUAUUAAGGCCUCCUUUUAAUAGAGAACCAGAAUAAAGCAUUAACACACGUGAAUACAUGAACUCCUCAAACUACGGUCAUCACAGGGAAGUGUCCCGACUAUUGUCACUCCGGGGUUGCCGGAUCAUAACACGUAGUAGGUAACUAUAACUUGCAAGGUUGGAUCUAGAACAUAGAUAUAAUGGUGAUAACAUAAGUCAUAGCAACAUCAAUCAAGAACAUAAUGGAUACUAGGGAUGAAGCCCUAACAAAACUAACUCAAUUACAUGAUGAAUCUCAUCCAACUCCUCACUGACCAGCGAGCCUACGAAGGAAUUACUCACUCCUGGUGGGGAGCAUCAUGGAAUUGGCGAUGGAGAAGGGUUGGUGAUGACGAAGAUCGAAGAUCCCACUCUCUGGAGCCCCAAACGGACUCCAAAUCUAGCCUCCCGAUGAAGAACAGGAGAUGACGGCGGCUCCGUCUUGUGGAUCGUGAUAAUUCUUUCUCCCUGAUUUUUUUCUGGAAAAAUAGGAUUUUAUAGCGUCGGAUUCAGGGCCUGCGGGGCCACCAGGUGGGGACAACCCACCUGGGUGUGCUUGGAGGGGGGGGGGGGCUGGUGGGUUGUGCCCAUCCAGGUGCCCCCCUCCGAUUGUUCUUGGCUCCAGAAAUUCUCUGUAUUUGUAUAAAAAUUCCUCGCAAAGUUUUGUUCCAAUCCGAAAACUUUUAUUUCUGCACAAAAAAAACACCAUGGUAGUUUUGUUGGAAACAACGUCAGUCCGGGUUAGUUUCAUUCAAAUCAUGCAAAUUAGAGUCCAAAACAAGAGGAAAGUGUUAGGAAAAGUAGAUACGACGGAGACGUAUCAACUCCUCCAAGCUUAAACCUUUGCUUGUCCUUAAGCAAUUCAGUUGAUAAACUGAAAGUGAAAAAAAAUUAUGAACUCUUUUGCUCUUGUUUUCAUAAAUAAGCUUAAACAUCACCCAGUGUCGGUGUCGAAACCGGCGGAUCUCGGAUAGGGGGUUCCGAACUAUGCGUCUAGGCGGAUGGUAACAGGAGACAAGGGACACGAUGUUUACCCAGGUUCGGGCCCUCUCGAUGGAGGUAAAACCCUACUCCUGCUUGAUUAAUAUUGAUGAUAUGGGUAGUACAAGAGUAAAUCUACCACGAGAUCAAGGAGGCUAAACCCUAGAAGCUAGCCUAUGGUAUGAUUGUUGUUGUCCUACGGACUAAAACCCUCCGGUUUAUAUAGACACCGGAGAGGGUUAGGGUUACACAGAGUCGGUUACAAUGGUAGGAGACCUACAUAUCCGUAUCACCAAGCUUGCCUUCCACGCCAAGGAAAGUCCCUUCCGGACACGGGACGAAGUCUUCAAUCUUGUAUGUUCAUAGUCCGGGAGUCCGGCUGAAGGUAUCGUCCGGCUAUCCGGACACCCCCUAAUUCAGGACUCCCUCAGAGCCCCCGAACGAGGCUUCAAUGACGACGAGUCCGGCGCGCAAAUUGUCUUCGGCAUUGCAAGGCGGGUUCUCCUUCAAUUUCUGUGUACCUGCUGAAUAAUGUCCGGUUUCUUAUAAAUGUAGCGCUCCUCGGCUUCCACGCCCAAUAAUGGCCGUCUUCCACGUGUCAAAUGAAUACGAAAAGUCUGGGUGUUUUUACAUUCACACCCCCAGCCGCGUAAAUGAGCUGCCUAUUUAAAGGGACGGGGAUUUAGAUCCAAACCACACCUUCUCCUCUCCGCGAGUUUCAUCAGAGCGCAUCCGACAAAGGACCGUUCCAUCAUGGCCAGCGGUCGCAGCUCCUCCUCUCGCCCUUCCAGCCCUCAUCCUGGAGAUUGGGAGAGAUGCUCCGUCCCGCACAUCGAGCUAGUGUCGCUUCGGACCAAAGGGAUUUCUUCCUCCUGCCUAUAUGGUCCCGGUUCGAGCCGGACUUGCCACCUAUAAUGGCGGAGAGCAAGCGGAGAACGCCCCCAAUCCCUCCAAAGGAGAGCGGGUAUGCCUUGUCCCUUAUUUAAUAAGAGGGCUCGGAUUUCCAAUUCAUCCAUUUCUCCGGGGGCUCCUGGAGUUCUACGGCCUCCAGCUGCACAACCUCAUGCCUGUCUCCGUAUUGCAUAUUGCGGGCUUCGUAGCCCUUUGCGAGUUGUUUUUGGGUGUUGAGGCUCAUUUCGCGCUGUGGAAGAGGCUAUUUUGCCUUGUGCCCUGUUCUUAGGAGGGGUCAAUAUAUCAAGUGGGCGGAGCCAAAGUGUGGUGUAUCGCCAGGACCGGAUAUCUAUCCGGAACCCCAAAGAAGGCGUCCGAGGACUGGCCUUCAGAAUGGUUUUAUAUAGAGGACGUCCCGUUGCCGGAUCCUGUUCGGAUCGGCCUCCCUGAGUUCAACAGCGCUCCCCUGAAGAAACGUCUAAGCUGGCACCCACGGAGCCCUCAGAGAGAAAGUGACAAGGACGUUCUUUACCUGAUGGGCCGGAUAAGAUUAUUAGCUCAUUCCGGACUAACCAUGAUCGGAGUCAUGGCCGCAUGCAUCAUGCGAGGGGUGCAACCGCUUCAGUACAGAGGCCACCCCAUGUGGGACUUCAACGGGGAGGAUGAUGCCACCCGUCACGGCCGUAAGGGGCCGGACUCGGCUACCGCUCUAGUAAAGAUCUUGUCCGCUUUGUACAAGGGAGAAGAGGAGGAAUUUCUCCGCGUCAACCCACAGGGUGGAUUUACCAUGUACAAUCCCCCAAGUUGGGUAAGUGGGCAAUUUUACUUGCCCGUCUGUUUUGUAUUCCCAUCAUUAAAUAUAUAGUCUAACGACUUCAACGCAGGAACUGCGCCAGGAAGUAAAGGACAUAAACAGCCCGCCUCCACAGCCUGAGGACCCAGAGUUGUCCCUCGAUCCGGCCUCCGAAGAGGAUCCGGACUUAUCCAUGGAGUUAAUUGAUGGGGUGUUUUAUCAAUUGAGCAAGGACAAUGCCUUGGUGGCCAUUAAGGCCGAUUACCCGGGGCUGCUCCCGGCCUCCCAGGUAACUGAGACCGAAGUCCUAGCACCUCAAAAAGGGAUCCGCCCUCGCGUGUUUUUCAGUUUCCUGACAACAACCGUGUUUUGUAGGGGAGGUUCUUGAGACGGGAGGCCGAGCCUGCGGUGACUAGCCAACGAGGGGCCACAGGGCCCCGUGGGAUGAAAAGAAGUGCAGUCCGGACUGAGGCACCGGCGCAGAGGUAUAGCGCGCCUUCUUAUUCCCAGGUGUUAUUCCUUCAAGGCAUAUUAACACUCGUGCUCUUUUCAGGACAAAAAGACCCCGCCGGACUAUAUCCAGAGAGGCUGCCAAUCGCGCCUCCACCAGCCAGGAUCCAAAGCCUGGUCCGGAGACGGAGGCGAACACGAGGCGCGCACCGGACGCUCCUCCAACAGAUGAUGCGGACAGGCUGUCCGCCACUAAUUCCGAGGUGGAGAGUGCCAUGAACCACAGGCGUCGCCGGACAGUUCUUCGCGACGCUUGUUUCUCCCAAGAGGCAUUGGACGCCUUCAAUUCGGGAGAUGCGUACCUUCGUGCCGCUCAAAAUGGUCUAGCCAGAGCCACGGAGCAAUAUGUAAAAGACAUACGGGUGAGAAAAUUUAAUGGUUAUAUAUAUCAGUAGCCCCCGAGACUUGAAACAGUUAGAAGAACUGAUUUAAGGAUCAUUCAUAAUGCAGGUUCUUGCGGAAAAGAAUACCCAACUGUCCCAGGAGCUAGAAGAGUGCAAAGCCCAACUUGAGGCCGCACUAGCCGCGACAGGGGAGCCCAAGGAGACCCCCUCUGGUAAUAUGUGCUUCAAAAAGAGAAGUAUUUUGUGAAGUGCGGCGUAUGUGCAAAUCUGACGAAUGAAAUUGCAGAUGGCGCCGGAUUAGAUCCGGAAAAGCAACAAAUCCUACGCCAGCUAAAGGCUGGUGAGAGCGUGCUGACAAAGGUGAGGCGGGAGAAGAACGAUCUCCAAUAUGCCAACACCAAGCUGGGCGUUGAACUGAAAGAUGUUUGUGCCCAGUUGUCAGACUCCGCUAAGGAGAAUCAGCGGCUUCGACGCGGCAUAUUUAGUAAGUGCUUAAACGAACUUUGAAUAAAGAGUUCGACAAGGAAGUCGACUAACGGAGUAAUGUCUGUAGGUAUGCUAACAGGUCGUCCUGCAGAGGAGAUGCCCGGUUCUAUGGGUGACCUUCUUCUUGAGCUCUUGCAACUGCACGAGCGAGUUCAACAGGUGAUGCAGGGCGUCGCCCAGGCCUUGUGGCCAUCCAUCUCCAUGCCCGAAGGACUUGGAGAGGUUGCAGAGAAGCUGAAGGGAGCGCGGCGGCGCUUCCGAUUGUGGAAGAUAUCGGCCUGCCGUCAAGGCGCUAGGGAGGCCUGGGCCAUGGUGAAGACGCGGUACACGAAGGCUGACCCAAACCACAUGGCCGAGGUCGGACCUGUGGGGCCCGAUGGGAAGGAGAUCCCUGUAAGCUUAGUAUACGGCCAAGUAGAAUUGCCCGCAAAGUAUUCCCAGCAGGACUGUAAGCUAGACAGCAUGUUAGAUGGUAUUGAAGAGGAAUACAAUUAGUCAUAAUGACUAUGUAAUUUUAAUUGACAUGUGUAAUGCCUUCUAGCCGGAUUGUAGAUCGUUUUUCAUGGCCGACCUUUUUGCUUCGACCUCGGGACCUGACGGUCCGGAGUGUGUCCGAAUACCCUUGCGGUUAUAUAAGAACCGGGGUAUGCAUGGAGACCAGGCGUAGGGGUCAUUAGUGCUUGAACAGACAAGUGCCCGACUAGUUAUGUUAUAUUACAUGGUUAGUAAGAAACAUCUUCCAGGGAGAAUAGUUCCGUUAGGGGUUCCUUUCCCUGGGAGGCAUGCCCUAAAGUGCAUGUCCAUUCUGCGAAAAGAGACGCAGGAAAAAACAUCUGGGGGCGCAUAGAUAAAUAAGUGAAAAAAAUCAUCUUUAGUUCACCGACCGAAUAUUCCCUUAAGGACGCUAGCUUUCGGCUUCACCCAGUCUGAGGUACACAUCGGGCUGACCCGGCAGUAACAAUCGCAGAGGUGCUCCCUUUACCACCUAGCCGAACAAUCGGAAACAUAGGGCUAAGCACAGGAGCCAGGCAACCCAGCUUGGCUAAAACUUAAGUCAUAUCGAUACAUAUGAUGGUGAAUAAAAGGUACAUGCGGAAGUGUGACACAUGUGUUGGGCAUGAAGCCCGUAUAAGCUUCUGUUCAAAGAAGCCCCCAGGUUUAGUGAGCGCGGAUAGCGCGUCACUUGAUGAGCCUUUAAAGGCUAUAAGAGAAAGGAGGGGGAGAAGGAGAAAAUGGAAGACAGAAAAUAUAAAAAAUGGACAGAGGAAGGAGACGAACAUAGAAUCCGGCGCUAGGCAUAGAAUCUUCGGAGACGGGCUGCGUUCCAUGGGUUCGGCUCGAGUCGGUUAUCCGAUGCAUCUCACAGGCGGUACGUUCCACCAGUCAGGACUUGGUCAAUUAUGAAGGGACCUUCCCACUUGGGCUGGAGUUUGUCCUUUUUCUUGUCCGGCAGGCGUAGAACUAGUUCGCCAACAUUGUAAUUUUUGGCCCGUACUUCUCUGCUUUGAUAUCUUCGAGCCUGCUGUUGAUAGAAUGCGGAACGGGCUUUUGCCACGUCACGCUCCUCCUCCAAGGCGUCCAAACUGUCCUGCCGAUCGAGCUCGGCUUCUCUUUCUUCGUACAUGUGCACUCAAGGUGAGUCAUGAAUUAUAUCGCAGGGCAAAACUGCUUCUGCGCCGUACACCAUGAAGAAUGGUGUGUAUCCGGUGGUGCGAUUCGGCGUGGUCCGCAGCCCCCAGAGUACGGAGUCGAGCUCCUCUACCCAGUGCGUGUUAGAUUCCUUAAGGGACCGCACUAAUCUGGGUUUGAUGCCGCUCAUGAUAACACCAUUUGCGUGUUCGACCUGUCCGUUAGUUUGUGGGUGAUAGACGGAAGCAGAAUCGAGCUUGAUGCCCAUGUUUUUGCACCAGAGUUUUACCUCAUCGACCGUAAAGUUCGUACCGUUAUCAGUGAUGAUGCUGUGGGGGACGCCGUAACGGUGUACGACCCCGGAUAUAAAGUCUAUCACUGGUACAGAUUCGGCCGUCUUAAUAGGCUUGGCCUCUAUCCAUUUGGUGAACUUAUCCACCAUGACCAGUAAGUAUUUUUUCUUGUGGGUUCCGCCUUUAAGGGGUCCAACCAUGUCAAGCCCCCAGACCGCGAAGGGCCAAGUGAUGGGGAUAGUUUGGAGGGCGGUGGGUGGCAUAUGGCUUUGGUUUGGCAAAAGCUGGCAACCGACGCAUCGUUGGACUAAGUCCUGAGCGUCUGCCCGGGCCGUUGGCCAAUAAAAGCCUGUACGGAAAGCCUUGCUUACGAGGGACCAAGCUGCGGUGUGAUGACCACCGAGUCCGGCAUGAAUUUCAGCCAGCAAGUUCCGCCCAUCCUCCUCAGAGAUGCACCUUUGAAGGACUCCGGUAGUGCUUUUCUUAUAAAGCUCUCCCUCAUGGACUUUAUAGGCUUUAGAUCGCCGCACUAUGCAGCGUGCCUCAUUUUGGUCUUCUGGGAGUUCCUGCCUAGUAAGAUAGGCUAGGAAUGGUUCUGUCCACGGGGCGAUGACUGCCAUUAUUACGUGGGCUGAAUAUGUGACUUCAUUGGCAGAGUCUCCAAUUAUGUCAGUGUUGGCUAACGUAGCAGAAAUUCAAAAUUUUCCUACGUGUCACCAAGAUCUAUCUAUGCAGAAACCAGCAACGAGGGGAAGGAGAGUGCAUCUACAUACCCUUGUAGAUCGCUAAGCGGAAGCGUUCAAGAGAACGGGGUUGAAGGAGUCGUACUCGUCGUGAUCCAAAUCACCGAUGAUCCUAGUGCCGAACGGACGGCACCUCCGCGUUCAACACACGUACAGCCCGGUGACGUAUCCCACGCCUUGAUCCAGCAAGGAGAGAGGGAGAGGUUGAGGAAGACUCCAUCCAGCAGCAGCACAACGGCGUGGUGGUGGUGGAGGAGCGUGGCAAUCCUGCAGGGCUUCGCCAAGCACCACGGGAGAGGAGGAAGGAGAGAUGCAGGGCUGCAUCAUAUAGAGGAGAGGAACUCGCGUCUUAUGAGCAGCCCAAACCUCAACUAUAUAUAGGGGAAGGGGAGGGGCUGCGCCCCCUUUAGGGUUUCCACCCCUAGGGGUGGCGGCCAGCCUAGAUCCCAUCUAAGGGAGGCGGCCAAGGGGGAGGGGGAGAGGGAGGCGCACCAGGAUGGGCCUUAGGGCCCAUCUGCCCUAGGGUUUGCCCCCUUCUCCUCUCCCUUGCGCCUUGGGCCCUUGUGGGGGGGCGCACCAGCCCACCUGGGGCUGGUCCCCUUCCACACUUGGCCCAUGAAGCCCUCCGGGGCUGGUGGCCCCACUUGGUGGACCCCCGGGACCCUCCCGGUGGUCCCGGUACGUUACCGAUAAACCCCGAAACUUUUCCGGUGACCAAAACAGGACUUCCCAUAUAUAAAUCUUUACCUCCGGACCAUUCGGGAACUCCUCAUGACGUCCGGGAUCUCAUCCGGGACUCCUAACAACAUUCGGUAACCACAUACAAACUUCCUUUAUAACCCCAGCGUCAUCGAACCUUAAGUGUGUAGACCCUACGGGUUCGGGAGACAUGCAUACAUGACCGAGACGUUCUCCGGUCAAUAACCAACAGCGGGAUCUGGAUACCCAUGUUGGCUCCCACAUGUUCCACGAUGAUCUCAUCGGAUGAACCACGAUGGCAAGGACUUAAUCAAUCCCGUAUACAAUUCCCUUUGUCUAUCUGUACGAUACUCGCCCGAGAUUCGAUCGUCGGUAUCCCGAUACCUUGUUCAAUCUUGUUACCGGCAAGUCUCUUUACUCGUUCCGUAACACAUCAUCCCAUGAUCAACUCCUUGAUCACAUUGUGCACAUUAUGAUGAUGUCCUACCGAGUGGGCCCAGAGAUACCUCUCCGUCACACGGAGUGACAAAUCCCAGUCUCGAUUCGUGCCAACCCAACAGACACUUUCAGAGAUACCCGUAGUGUACCUUUAUAGCCACCCAGUUACGUUGUGACGUUUGGCACACCCAAAGCACUCCUACGGUAACCGGGAGUUGCACAAUCUCAUGGUCUAAGGAAAUGAUACUUGACAUUAGAAAAGCUUUAGCAUACGAACUACUUAGGAUUGGGUCUUGUCCAUCACAUCAUUCUCCUAAUGAUGUGAUCCCGUUAUCAACGACAUCCAAUGUCCAUGGUCAGGAAACCGUAACCAUCUAUUGAUCAACGAGCUAGUCAACUAGAGGCUUACUAGGGACAUGGUGUUGUCUAUGUAUCCACACAUGUAUCUGAGUUUCCUAUCAAUACAAUUCUAACAUGGAUAAUAAACGAUUAUCAUGAACAAGGAAAUAUAAUAAUAAUCAAUUUAUUAUUGCCUCUAGGGCAUAUUUCCAACAGUCUCCCACUUGCACUAGAGUCAAUAAUCCAGUUCACAUCGCUAUGUGACUAACACUCAAGGUCACAUGCCCAUGUGACUAACACCCAAAGAGUUUACUAGAGUCAAUAAUCUAGUUCACAUUUACCAUGUGAUUAACACUCGAUGAGUUCUGGGUUUGAUCAUGUUAUGCUUGUGAGAGAGGUUAUAGUCAACGGGUCUGAACCUUUCAGAUCCGUGUGUGCUUUACAAAUCUCUAUGUCAUCUCCUAGAUGCAGCUACCACGCUCUAUUUGGAGCUAUUCCAAAUAGCUGUUCUACUAUACGAAUCCAGUUUACUACUCAGAAUAAUCUGGAUUAGUGUCAAAGUUUGCAUCGGUGUAACCCUUUACGAUGAACUCUUUUACCACCUCCAUAAUCGAGAAAAUUCCUUAGUCCACUAGUUACUAAGGAUAACUUUGACCGCUGUCCUGUGAUCCAUUCUUGGAUCACUCUUGUACCCCUUGACUGACUCAUGGCAAGGCACACUUCAGGUGCGGUACAUAGCAUAGCAUACUGUAGAGCCUAUGUCUUAAGCAUAGGGGACGACCUUCGUUCUUUCUCUCUAUUCUGCCGUGGUCGAGCUUUAAGUCUUAACUUCAUACCUUACAACUCAGGCAAGAACUCCUUCUUUGACUGAUCCAUCUUGAACACCUUCAAGAUCAUGUCAAGGAAUGUGCUCAUUUGUAAGUACCAUUAAGUGUUUUGAUCUAUCCUUAUAGAUCUUGAUGCUCAAUGUUCAAACAGCUUAAUCCAGGCUUUCCAUUGAAAAAACACUUUCCAAAUAACCCUAUAUGCUUUCCAGAAAUUCUACGUCAUUUCUGAUCAACAAUAUGUCAACAACAUAUAUUCAUCAGAAAUUCUAUAGUGCUCCCACUCACUUCUUUGGAAAUACAAGUUUCUCAUAAACUUCGUAUUCACCCAAAAUCUUUGAUCAUCUCAUCAAAGCAUACAUUCCAACUCGAGAUGCUUACUCCAGUCCUUAGAAGGAUUGCUGGAGCUUUGCAUACUUAUUAGCAUAUUUCAGGAUUGACAAAACCUUCCGGUUGUAUCACAUACAACCUUUCCUCAAAAAUCGUCGAGGAAACAAUGUUUUGACAUCCUAUCUGCAAGAUUUCAUAAAUGAUGCAGUAAUUGCUAAUAUAAUUCCAACAGACUCUUAGCAUCGCUAUGAGUGAGAAAGUCUCAUCGUAGUCAACUCCUUGAACUUGUCGGAAAACAUCUUAAUGACAAGUCGAGCUUUCUUAAUGGUGAUACUUACCAUCAUUGUCCGUCUUCCUUUUAAAAUCCAUAUGUACCUAACAGCCUUACGACCAUCAAGUAGUUCUUCCAAAGUCUACACUUUGUUUUCACAUAUGGAUCCUCUCUCGGAUUAUAUGGCCUUGAGCCAUUUUGGAAUCCAUGCCCACCAUCGCUCCUCCAUAGCUCGUAGGUUCAUCGUUGUCUAGCAACAUGACUUCCAAGACAGGAUUACGUACCAUUCUGAAGCAGUACACAUCCUUGUCAUCCCACGAGGUUUGGUAGUGACUUGAUCUGAAGUUUCAUGAUCACUAUCAUAAGCUUCCACUUCAAUUGGUGUAGGUGCCACAGGAACAACUCCCUGUGCCCUGCCACACACUAGUUGAAGAGAUGGUUCAAUAACCUCAUCAAGUCUCCACCAUCCUCCCACUCAAUUCUUUCGAGAGAAACUUUUCCUCGAGAAAGGACCCGAUUCUAGUAACAAUCCCUUAUUGCUUUCGAAUCUGAGACAGGAGGUAUACCCAACCGUUUUGGGUGUCCUAUGAAGAUGUAUUUAUCCGCUUUGGGUUCGAGCUUAUCGGCCUGAAACUUUUUCACAUAAGCGUCGCAGCCCCAAACUUUUAAGAAAUGACAGCUUAGGUUUCUCUAAACCAUAGUUCAUACGGUGUCAUCUCAUCAGAAUUACGUGGUGCCCUAUUUAAAGUGAAUGUGGUUGUCUCUAAUGCCUAACCCAUAAACUAUUGUGGUAAUUCGAUAAGAGACAUCAUGGUAUGCAUCAUAUCCAAUAGGGUGCAGUUAUGAUGUUCGGACACACCAUCACACUAUGGUGUUCCAGGCUGUAUCAGUUGUGAAACAAUUUCCACAAUGUCUUAAUUCUGUGCCAAACUCGUAAUUCAGAUAUUCAUCUCUAUGAUCAUAUCAUAGAUAUUUUAUCCUCUUGUCACGAUGAUCUUUCAACUUCACCCUGAAAUUACUUGAACCUUUCAAUAAUUCAGACUCGUGAUUCAUCAAGUAAAUAUACUCAACAUCUACUCAAAUCAUCUAUGAAGUAAGAACAUAACGAUAUCCACUACAUGCCUCAGCACUCAUUGGACUGCACACAUCAAAAUGUAUUACUUCCAACAAGUUGCUUUCUAGUUCCAUUUUACUGAAACUGAGGCUUUCAGUCAUCUUGCCCAUGUGGUAUGAUUUGCAUGUCUCAAGUGAUUCAAAAUCAAGUGAGUCCAAAUGGUCCAUUUGCAUGGAGUUUCUUCAUGCAUAUACACCAAUAGACAUGGUUCGCAUGUCUCAAACUUUUCAAAAACGAGUGAUCCCAAAGAUCCAUCAACAUGGAGCUUCUUCAUGCGUUUUAUACCGAUAUGACUUACGUGGCAGUGCCACAAGUAGGUGGUACUAUCAUUACUAUCUUAUAUCUUUUGGCAUGAACAUGUGUAUCACUACGAUCGAGAUUCAAUAAACCAUUCAUUUUAGGUGCAAGACCAUUGAAGGUAUUAUUCAAAUGAACAGAGUAACCAUUAUUCUCCUUAAAUGAAUAGCCGUAUUGCGAUAGACAUAAUCCAAUCAUGUCUAUGCUCAACGCAAACAGCAAAUAACAAUUAUUUAGGUUUAACACCAAUCUCGAUGGUAGAGGGAGCGUGCGAUGCUUGAUCAUAUCAACAUUGGAAACACUUCCAACACAUAUCGUCAGCUCACCUUUAGCUAGUCUCCGUUUAUUCCGUAGCUUUUAUUUCAAGUUACAAACACUUAGCAACCGAACCGGUAUCUAAUACCCUGGUGCUACUAGGAGUACCAGUAAAGUACACAUUAACACAAUGUAUAUCCAAUAUACUUCUAUCGACCUUGCCAGCCUUCUCUUCUACCAAGUAUCUAGGGUAAUUCUGCUCCAGUGGCUGUUCCCCUUAUUACAGAAGCACUUAGUCUCGGGUUUGGGUUCAACCUUGGGUUUCUUCACUAGAGCAGCAGCUGAUUUGCCGUUUCAUGAAGUAUCCCUUCUUGCCCUUGCCCUUCUUGAAACUAGUGGUUUCACCAACCAUCAACAAUUGAUGCUCCUUCUUGAUUUCUACUUUUGUGGUGUCAAACAUCGCGAAUAUCUCAAGGAUCAUCAUAUAUGUCCCUGAUAUAUUAUAGUUCAUCACGAAGCUCUAGCAGCUUGGUGGUAAUGACUUCGGAGAAACAUCACUUUCUCAUCUGGAAGAUCAACUCCCACUCGAUUCAAAUGAUUGUUGUACUCAGACAAUCUGAGCACAAGCUCAACAAUUGAGCUUUUCUCCCUUAGUUUGCAGGCUAAGAAAAUCGUCAGAGGUCUUAUACCUCUUGACGUGGGCACGAGCCUGAAAUCCAAAUUUCAGCCCUCGAAACAUCUCAUAUGCUUCGCGGCGUUUCAAAACGUCUUCGGUGCCUCAACUCUAAACCGUUUAACUAAACUAUCACGUAGUUAUCAAAAUGUGUAUGUCAGAUGUUCGCAACAUCCACAGACAACGUUCGAGGUUCAGCACAUUGAGUGGUGCAUUAAGGACAUAAGCCUUCUAUGAAGCAAUGAGGACAAUCCUCAGUUUACGGACCUAGUCCGCAUAAUUGCUACUAUCAACUUUCAACUAAUUUUUUUCUCUCUAGGAACAUAUCUAAACAGUAGAACUAAAGUGCGAGCUAUGACAUAAUUUGCAAAAUCCUUUUGACUAUGUUGAGGAUAAACAAGUUGAUCUUAUGAACUUCCACUCAGAUAGAUAUCCCUCUAGUCAUCUAAGUGAUUACAUGAUCCGAGUCAACUAGGCCGUGUCCGAUCAUCACGUGAGACGGACUAGUCAUCAUCGGUGAACAUCUUCAUGUUGAUCGUAUCUACCAUACGACUCAUGCUCGACCUUUCGGUCUCUUGUGUUCCGAGGCCAUGUCUGUACAUGCUAGGCUCGUCAAGUCAACCUAAGUGUUUCGGGUGUGUAAAUCUGUCUUACACCCGUUGUAUGUGAACGUUAGAAUCUAUCACACCCGAUCAUCACGUGGUGCUUCGAAACGACGAACUUUCGCAACGGUGCACAGUUAGGGGGAACACUUUCUUGAAAUUUUAAUGAGGGAUCAUCUUAUUUACUACCGUCGUUCUAAGCAAAUAAGAUGUAUAAACAUGAUAAACAUCACUUGCAAUCAAAUAGUGACAUGAUAUGGCCAAUAUCAUAGUGCUCCUUUUGAUCUCCAUCUUCGGGGCUCCAUGAUCAUCAUCACCGGCAUGACACCAUGAUCUCCAUCAUCAUGAUCUCCAUCAUCGUGUCUUCAUGAUGUUGUCUCGCCAACUAUUACUUCUACUACUACAGCUAACGGUUAGCAAUAAAGUAAAGUAAUUACAUGGCGUUGUUUAAUGACAAGCAGGUCAUAUAAUAAAUUAAGAAACUCCUAUGGCUCCUGCCGGUUGUCAUACUCAUCGACAUGCAAGUCGUGAUUCCUAUUACAAGAACAUGAUCAAUCUCAUACAUCACAUAUCAUUCAUCACAUUCUUCUUGGCCAUAUCACAUCACAUAGCAUACCCUGCAAAAACAAGUUAGACGUCCUCUAAUUGUUGUUUGCAUGUUUUACAUGGCUGCUAUGGGUUUCUAGCAAGAACGUUUCUUACCUAGGCAAAACCACAACGUGAUAUGCCAAUUGCUAUUUACCCUUCAUAAGGACCCUUUUCAUCGAAUCCGAUCCGACUAAAGUGGGAGAGACAAACACCCGCCAGCCACCUUAUGCAACUAGUGCAUGUUUGUCGGUGGAACCGGUCUCACGUAAGCGUACGUGUAAGGUUGGUCUGGGCCGCUUCAUCCCACAAUGCCGCCGAAUCAAGAUUGGACUAGUAACGGUAAGCAUAUUGAACAAAAUCAACGCCCACAACUACUUUGUGUUCUACUCGUGCAUAGAAUCUACGCAAUAGACCUAGCUCAUGAUGCCACUGUUGGGUAACGUAGCAGAAAUUCAAAAUUUUCCUACGUGUCACCAAGAUCUAUCUAUGGAGAAACCAGCAACGAGGGGAAGGAGGGUGCAUCUACAUACCCUUGUAGAUCGCUAAGCGGAAGCGUUCAAGAGAACGGGGUUGAAGGAGUCGUACUCGUCGUGAUCCAAAUCACCGAUGAUCCUAGUGCCGAACGGACGGCACCUCCGCGUUCAACACACGUACAGCCCGGUGACGUAUCCCACGCCUUGAUCCAGCAAGGAGAGAGGGAGAGGUUGAGGAAGACUCCAUUCAGCAGCAGCACAACGGCGUGAUGGUGGUGGAGGAGCGUGGCAAUCCUGCAGGGCUUCGCCAAGCACCACGGGAGAGGAGGAAGGAGAGAUGCAGGGCUGCGUCAUAUAGAGGAGAGGAACUCGCGUCUUAUGAGCAGCCCAAACCUCAACUAUAUAUAGGGGAAGGGGAGGGGCUGCGCCCCCUUUAGGGUUUCCACCCCUAGGGGUGGCGGCCAGCCUAGAUCCCAUCUAAGGGAGGCAGCCAAGGGGGAGGGGGAGAGGGAGGCGCACCAGGAUGGGCCUUAGGGCCCAUCUGCCCUAGGGUUUGCCCCCUUCUCCUCUCCCUUGCGCCUUGGGCCCUUGUGGGGGGGGGGGGAGCACCAGCCCACCUGGGGCUGGUCCCCUUCCACACUUGGCCCAUGAAGCCCUCCGGGGCUGGUGGCCCCACUUGGUGGACCCCCGGGACCCUCCCGGUGGUCCCGGUACGUUACCGAUAAACCCCGAAACUUUUCCGGUGACCAAAAUAGGACUUCCCAUAUAUAAAUCUUUACCUCCGGACCAUUCCGGAACUCCUCGUGACGUCCGGGAUCUCACCCGGGACUCCGAACAACAUUCGGUAACCACAUACAAACUUCCUUUAUAACCCUAGAGUCAUCGAACCUUAAGUGUGUAGACCCUAUGGGUUCGGGAGACAUGCAGACAUGACCGAGACGUUCUCCGGUCAAUAACCAACAGCGGGAUCUGGAUACCCAUGUUGGCUCCCACAUGUUCCACGAUGAUCUCAUCGGAUGAACCACGAUGUCAAGGACUUAAUCUAUCCCGUAUACAAUUCCCUUUGUCUAUCGGUACGAUACUCGCCCGAGAUUCGAUCGUCGGUAUCCCGAUACCUUGUUCAAUCUCAUUACCGGCAAGUCUCUUUACUCGUUCCGUAACACAUCAUCCCGUGAUAAACUCCUUGAUCACAUUGUGCACAUUAUGAUGAUGUCCUACCGAGUGGGCCCAGAGAUACCUCUCCGUCACACGGAGUGACAAAUCCCAGUCUCGAUUCGUGCCAACCCAACAGACACUUUCGAAGAUACCCGUAGUGUACCUUUAUAGCCACCCAGUUACGUUGUGACGUUUGGCACACCCAAAGCACUCCUACGGUAACCGGGAGUUGCACAAUCUCAUGGUCUAAGGAAAUGAUACUUGACAUUAGAAAAGCUUUAGCAUACGAACUACACGAUCUAGUGCUAUGCUUAGGAUUGCGUCUUUUCCAUCACAUCAUUCUCCUAAUGAUGUGAUCCCGUUAUCAACGACAUCCAAUGUCCAUGGUCAGGAAACCGUAACCAUCUAUUGAUCAACGAGCUAGUCAACUAGAGGCUUACUAGGGACAUGGUGUUGUCUAUGUAUCCACACAUGUAUCUGAGUUUCCUAUCAAUACAAUUCUAGCAUGGAUAAUAAACGAUUAUCAUGAACAAGGAAAUAUAAUAAUAAUCAAUUUAUUAUUGCCUCUAGGGCAUAUUUCCAACAGUCAGAUUGUUCGGUGUUGGGCAGUGCGGUUGAGUCCGGGCUGUUAUUGCCGGGUUCCCCUUCCCAUACUACGGACGGCUUGAAUAGCCUUUCCAAGAAGAUGUUGGGAGGGACUGCAUCGCGUUUUGCGCCGAUGCGUGCCAGGACAUCCGCCGCCUGAUUAUUUUCCCGGGCUAUAUGGUGAAAUUCGAGCCCUUCGAACCGAGCUGACAUUUUUAAGACGACGUUGCGAUAAGCUGCCAUUUUUGGAUCCUUGGCAUCGAAGUCUCUGUUUAUUUGGGAUAUUGCAAGGUUCGAAUCCCCUCGCACUUCUAGGCGUUGAAUACCCAUGGAUACUGCCAUCUAGAGACCAUGUAAGAGGGCCUCGUAUUCGGCUGCAUUGUUGGAGUCUGUGUACAUAAUCUGGAGUACAUAUUGAACUAUGUCUCCUGUGGGGGACGUCAAAACGACGCCAGCCCCCAGACCGGCCAACAUUUUGGAGCCGUAGAAAUGCAUGAUCCAGUUUUAAUAUGUGCCGUACUCUUUAGGGAGUUCAGCCUCCGUCCAUUCUGUGACGAAGUCAGCCAAAACUUGCGACUUGAUAGCUCGCCGUGGCUUAUAAGUUAUGUCGAACGAGAGGAGCUCGAUGGCCCAUUUCGCAAUCCGGCCCGUUGCGUCGCGGUUGUUUAUAAUAUCGUUUAGUGGUACUUCUGAGGCUACUGUUAUUGAACACUCUUGAAAGUAGUGUCGCAGCUUCCGGGAUGCCAUGAAUACCGCGUACGCAAUCUUUUGAUAAUGCGGGUACCUUGAUUUGCACGGAGUGAGGACAGUGGCCACAUAAUAGACCGGCUUCUGAAGGGGGAAUUUGUGUCCGUCCGUUUCUCGUUCGACGACGAGCACUGCGCUCACAACCUGAUGGGUUGCUGCAAUGUAUAAUAGCAUUGGUUCGCCAAUGUUUGGCGCGGCCAGGACUGGGUUUGUUGCCAAUAUGGCUUUUAUUUUGUCGAGUCCGGCCGUGGCUGCGUCCGUCCACUCGAAGUGUUCGGUGCGCCGAAGGAGGCGGUAAAGGGGGAGUGCCUUUUCUCCCAAGCGGGAGAUAAAGCGGCUUAGAGCCGCCACGCAUCCGGUUUACUUUUGUAUUUGUUUGAGGUCCUUUGGGAUAUCCAAUUGUGACAGAGCUCGGAUCUUGGCUGGAUUUGCUUCAAUUCCUCUACCGAAUACAAUGAAGCCCAAGAGCUUACCGGCUGGAACGCCGAAAACGCAUUUUUCCGGGUUGAGCUUGAUGUCGUAUGUUCGAAGGUUAUCAAAUGUGAGCCUCAAGUCGUCUACUAGGGAUUCAACAUGUCUUGUUUUUACGACCACAUCAUCUACGUAUGCCUCCACUGUUUUGCCGAUCUGGUUUGCCAGACAUGUCUGAAUCAUGCGCUGAUAUGUUGUUUUGAGCCCGAAGGGCAUUGUGUUGAAGCAGAAUGGGCCGUAUGGUGUGAUGAAUGCCGUUGCGGCUUGGUCUGAUUCUGCCAUCUUGAUUUGAUGGUAGCCGGAAUAUGCGUCGAGCAAGCACAACAAAUCGUGUCCUACAGUAGCGUUGAUAAUUUGAUCGAUGCGAGGGAGGGGGAAGGGAUCCUUUGGGCAAGCCUUAUUAAGGUCUUUAAAAUCAACGCACAGGCGCUAGGAUUUGUCCUUCUUUGGUACCAUCACCAGGUUUGCUAGCCAGUUCGGAUGUUUUAUAUCUCUGAUGGAUCCGGCCUCUAAUAGCUUGGCUAGCUCCUCUCCCAUGGCCUGUCUCUUAGGUUCGGAAAAACGCCGAAGAGCCUGUUUGACAGGUUUGAAUCCUUUAGGAUAUUUAAGCUGUGUUCGGCCAGCCUGCGUGGGAUUCCUGGCAUGUCUGAAGGGUGCCAGGCGAAAAUGUCCCAGUUCUCACGUAGGAACUCUCGUAGUGCGGCGUCUACAUCAGGGUUUAAUUGUGCACCGAUGGAAGCUGUUUUAUUGGGGUCCGUUGGAUGGACCUGGAAUUUGACUAUUUCGUCCGCUGGUUUAAAUGAGGUGGACUUGGAUAUUUUGUCGAGUAUCACAUCAUCCCUGUUCACCGUGGAGCGCAGCGCAGUCAGCUCCUCAGCCGCUAGGGCUUCGGAUAGUGCCUCAAGGGCCAGUGCGACUGUCUUAUUUUAGGCGCGGAGUGCUAUGUCCAGAUCACUAGCGAGAGUGAUGAUUCCGUUCGGCCCGGGCAUCUUGAGUUUCAUGUACCCAUAAUGGGGUAUUGCUUGGAAGAUUGUGAACGCUUCCCGCCCUAGCAGAGCAUGGUAUCCGCUACUGAACGGGACCACUUGGAACGUGACCUCCUUGGACCUGUAAUUAUCCGGCGUGCCGAACACCACAUCUAGUGUGAUUUUUCCUGUACAGCACGCUUCCUGACUGGGGAUUAUUCCUCUAAAGGUUGUGCUGCUUCGCUCAAUGCGGUUCCAGUCUAUUUCCAUUUUUUGAAGGGUUUCCUCAUAAAUGAGGUUCAAUCCGCUGCCUCCAUCCAUGAGUACCUUGGUAAGGCGAAAGCCGUCCACUAUUGGACUGAGGACCAAUGUGGCUGGUGCUCGGGCUGUUCGGAAUUUAGGUUCAUCACUGGCAUUAAAAGUAAUAGCCGUGUCACUCCAUGGGUUUAUUGUUGCUACUUGGUAGACUUCGGCAAGGCUGCGGAGUGUUCUUUUUCGCAUAUUAUUUGAUGCGGAAGUCUCGAAGACUGUUAAUACCGUACCGGUAUCCCUGGGGUGGCUUUCUAUGGCCUCCGGAAUUAGGAGAUCUUUGCCAAUUUUGGCCACCUGCCGGAGUAUCCAACAUGCUCUAAGGCUGUGAGUUGGUGUGGCGCCCUCUGUACUGUGAAUUUUACAGGGUCGAUUAAGCCAUCCUUCCAAUACGCUUCCAUGCCCUGUAGAGGAUUUUUGCUUUUUGGUGUUUAACCCGGGUGUCUGGCGAAGAUGCACCCUUUUAUUUUGGACUGGGUUUGUAUUCAGGGCCGGAUUGUCCCAAAAUUUUAUUUUGGUUUUCCAGUCGCUAUCCAUCGCAUAGUACUUUCGUACUAUGGACGCCAAGUCAGCGAAGCAUGUAAUAUCACGGCGACUUAUGGCGUUGAGGAUUCCCUUGUCCGUGCAAUUAUUGCAGAAGAAUGAGAUUGCGUCUUCCUCGCGGCAGUCCUUGAUCCUGUUCAUAGCCAGGAGGAAUCUGGCCCAGUAAUGAUGUACUGUUUCUUCGGGCUUUUGCCUAAUUUGGGAUAGAUCGCUUAUGUUCGGGUGGGUGGGUGGAAUUAAAUCCGAAAACUGACCCGAUAUGAGACUCAGAGGCCAAGGAGUUUCCGAACUCGGAAGUUUGGAUUCUUGGAUGUUGUCCAAUGAGUCUAGCCCGUCGCCUGACUCUAAGUUCAGGUCUUGAGUGAUGUCCUCCCUUCCGCGGGUAUCCGGCUUGGAGGGAUCGGGAAUCCAGACGUAACUAGUCCUUAAGAUAGAUGAAGGGUCGCCGCACUGUCCCUCUACCAUAGCAAUGUGAUGGGUGACCUGGGGAGAGUUAAUCUCUCUUAGAUCGGGUUUAGGCCCAAUCUGGUCAUAAUCCGUGGCGACUCCCAGGGCGGCGAUGCGAUCCAAGAGCUCGUUUAUGGAAGAGAGCUCCAUUGGAUCUAACUGCUCGGCGAGUUCCGAGCUGACAUGAAUACUGCUUUUGAUGACCCGAGAGGUCAUCGUCGGCGCAGCAGCCGAACAGGCGGUCAUAAGAAAACCGCCUAGCCGGAGAGUUUGGCCGACAGCCAAAGCUCCCUUAGCAACGGUUCCGUCUUUAAAGACGGGAUGAGGCAUCCUUCCUGAUGGCGACGGCACAGAGGAACUCUCAAUGAAAGCACCAAUGUCGGUGUCAAAACCGGCGGAUCUCGGGUAGGGGGUCCCGAACUGUGCGUCUAGGCGGAUGGUAACAGGAGACAAGGGACACGAUGUUUACCCAGGUUCGGGCCCUCUCGAUGGAGGUAAAACCCUACUCCUGCUUGAUUAAUAUUGAUGAUAUGGGUAGUACAAGAGUAGAUCUACCACGAGAUCAAGGAGGCUAAACCCUAGAAGCUAGCCUAUGGUAUGAUUGUUGUUGUCCUACGGACUAAAACCCUUCGGUUUAUAUAGACACCAGAGAGGGUUAGGGUUACACAGAGUCGGUUACAAUGGUAGGAGAUCUACAUAUCCGUACCACCAAGCUUGCCUUCCACGCCAAGGAAAGUCCCUUCCGGACAUGGGACGAAGUCUUCAAUCUUGUAUCUUCAUAGUCCGGGAGUCCGGCUGAAGGUAUAGUCCGGCUAUCCAGACACCCCCUAAUCCAGGACUCCCUCACCCAGGUUUUCAGCCAAGAUUAUAACUAACCAUGUCGACAAUAACUCUUAAACAUUAUAUUAACUCUUAUGAGUAGAGGCCGCGGGAAAAAGCCUAGUAGUAGCGCGGAUAAAAGACUAGUAGUAGUGCGGGUGCCCGUGCUACUACUACGGCGCUACAGCUAACUCGUAGUAGUAGCGCAGGUGCCACCCGCGCUACUAGUACGUGUGUUAGUAAUAGCGCGGAUUCUACACACGCUACUAUUAACUAUCUGUAGCGCCUGUCUGUGACCCGCGCUACUACUAUUAAUUUCAAAAACCAAAAAAAAAAUCUCGACCCCGUGCAUGUUGUCAAUGGUGUCAUUGAUUCGAUCCAGCGACAACAAGGGUUGCCGGAGGUGUGGACGGGUAGUGGCAGACCAGAUCCGGCGAUGGCUGUUGGAGAUGGCCGGAUCCAGUGUAGAGCAAGACGACGGUGUGAGGAUCCUCUUCGCGGUCAAGGCGGAGAACUCCUGGUUGGCCAUGUCGACGACCUGUGCAGGCAUGGGCAUGGGAGGUGAGUAAAACCAAAGGGAGAGGGAGAGGAGAGGGAGAGGGAAAAAGAGAAACAAGGGAGAAAGGAGGGAGAUGGAGGGUGUAUCGGGGCUGCAUGGAGGCGAGGAGGAAGACGGGCGAGCUCUUGGAUGCCAGCGAUGCGAGGAGGAAGACGUUGGGUGCCAUGGAGGAGGAGAUAUUCUUGGGCAGGAGCACCAUGGAGAGAGGGGGAAAGUGAGGGAGAGAGGAGGAAAGUGAGAGAGGGGGAAAGUGAGGGAGAGAGGAGGGAUUCGGCCGAGGAUAUGGAGAUUUCACCUACCUCGUACUUAGUAGUAGCGAGGGGUAUAAAACCGCGCUACUACUAUCAACAUAGUAGUAGCAUGGGUUUGUACCCCUCGCUACUACUAUGGCAUGUCCCGGGAGGGCACGGUAGACACCGCUUAGUAGUAGCGAGGGUGAAAAACCCGCGCUAAUAGUAUCAACUUAGUAGUAGCGAGGGGUAAAAACCCGUGCUACUAGUAAGUAGCAGUAGCGACGGUUAUAAACCCGUGCUACUAGUAAGCGUCUGCCUAUAAGCUUUUCCCUAGUAGUGGCAUAUCUAUGACAUAAUCAACUAGCGAGCAAUAAUAAGAUAUCUCAAACAACAACACGUUGUGAAAACAACCAUGAUAUAAUAUGACAAUAGUGGUAUCUCGCUAGCCCUUUCUAAGACCGCAAAACAUAAAUGUAGAGCACCUCCAAAGUUCAAGCAGCGACCAAACAUUGUAAUUCAUGGUAGAAAAGAUCUAGUCAUGAUGCACCCAACAUUAGCAACACAUAGUGCAUCAGCAUGUCAACAGUGCUCUCUGGAUUUGGCACUUAUUUUAGAAGGUGAUGACACAACAUAAAAGUAAAUAGAUAGUCCCUUCGCAGAGGGAAGCAGUGAUUUGCAGCGGUGCCAGAGCUCAAAAUUUAAAAAUAGAGGUAAAUGAAAUUUUGGGAAAUUGAUACGUCUCCAACGUAUCUAUAAUUUUUUAUUGUUCCAUGCUAUAUUAUAUUAUGUUUUGGAUGUUUAAUGGGCUUAUUUAUACACUUUUAUAUUAUUUUUGGGACUAACCUAUUAACCGGAGGCCCAGCCCAUAUUGUUGUUUUUGUUCCUAUUUCAGUGUUUCGCAAAAAAAAGAAUAUCAAACGGAAUGAAACCUUCGGGAACAUGAUUUUUAAAACAAACGUGAUUCAGAGGACUUGGAGUCCAUGUCAAGCAGUCAAUGAGGAGGGCACGAGGCAGGGGGCGCUCCUACCUCCCCCUAGGCGCGCCCUCCACCCUCAUGGGGCCCACGUUGCUCCACCGACGUACUUCUUCCUCCUAUAAUACCUACGUACCCCCAAACCAUCAGGGGCAUCCACGAAAACCUAAUUCCACCGCCGCAACCUUCUGUACACGUGAGAUCCCAUCUUGGGGCCUUUUCCGGCGUCCUGCCGAAGGGGGCAUUGAUCACGGAGGGCUUCUACAUCAACACCAUAGCCACUCCGAUGAUGUGUGAGUAGUUUACCUCAGACUUUCGGGUCCAUAGUUAUUAGCUAGAUGGCUUCUUCUCUCUCUUUGGAUCUCAAUACAAAGUUCUCCACGAUUCUCGUGGAGAUCUAUUCGAUGUAAUCUUCUUUUGCGGUGUGUUUGUUGGGACCGAUGAAUUGUGGAUUUAUGAUCAAGUUUAUCUAUGAACAAUAUUUGAAUAUCCUCUGAAUUCUUUUAUGUAUGAUUGGUUAUCUUUGCAAGUCUCUUCGAAUUAUCAGUUUGGUUUGGCCUACUAGAUUGAUCUUUCUUGCAAUGGGAGAAGUGCCUAGCUUUGGGUUCAAUCUUAUGGUGUCGUUUCCCAGUGACAGCAGGGGCAGCAAGGCACGUAUUGUAUUGUUGCCAUCGAGGAUAACAAGAUGGGGUUUAUAUCAUAUUGCAUGAGUUUAUCUCUCUACAUCAUGUCAUCUUGCUUAAAGCGUUACUCUGUUCUUAUGAACUUAAUACUCUAGAUGCAUGCUGGGUAGCGAUCGAUGUGUGGAGUAAUAGUAGUAGAUGCAGGCAGGAGUCGGUCUACUUGUCACGGACAUGAUGCAUAUAUACAUGAUCAUACCUAGAUAUUCUCAUAACUAUGCUCAAUUCUAUCAAUUGCUCGACAGUAAUUUUUUCACCCACCGUAAUACUUAUGCUUUUGAGAGAAGCCACUAAUGAAACAUAUGGCCCCCGGGUCUAUUUUCCAUCAUAUUAAUCUUCCAACACAUAGCCUUUUCUAUUGCCCUUUUAUUUUACUUUGCAUCUCUAUUUCUCUUUAUCAUAGAAAUACUAAAAAUAUUAUCUUAUCAUAUCUAUCAGAUCUCACUCUCGUUAGUGACCGUGAAGGGAUUGACAACCCCUUUAUCGCGUUGGUUGCGAGGUUCUUAUUUGUUUUGUGUAGGUGCGUGGGACUUGAGCGUGGCCUCCUACUGGAUUGAUACCUUUGUUCUCAAAACUGAGGGAAAUACUUACACUACUUUGCUGCAUCACCUUUUCCUCUUCAAGGGAAAAACCAACGCAGUGCUCAAGAGGUAGCAAGAAAGAUUUCUGGCGCCGUUGCCGGGAGUUUACGCAAAAGUCAACAUACCAAGUACCCAUCACAAACUCUUAUCCCUUGCAUUACAUUAUUUGCCAUUUGCCUCUCGUUUUCCUCUCCCUCACUUCACCCUUGCCGUUUUGUUCGCCCUCUCUUCCGCUCACCUUUCCUUCGCCAUGUCGGAACCAAAAAGAGUUGGGGGUUCUCUCCCGAGUUUUAGUACUUUGGACGAUCCUUCUAUUCUAUCUAAACUCAUAAAUAAUGUCAUGGUAAAACCUGCCGGAGUUGUCAAUGAGAGUCUUAAUAAUUUUGAUGAAGAUGAUUCCGGAAUUUUUCGUUAUUUACUCGAUGAAUCUUUGAAAGAUGCUUGGGAUAGACUGUUAAGGAUCCGGGCUAACUAUGUGCCCCAAUACCAAAUUGAAGUUUACUUGAAGAGCUUUUAUGUUGCCCUACCUUCUUCGUUUAAGCAUGUCUUAGAUUCUAUAUUUGAAGAAGACUUUCUUGAAGGGGAUGCCGUAGAUACUUAUGAAAAGAUGAAAACCAUAUUUGGGCACCCCAUGAAUGAGAAAAUUAAAUCUACAUCUCUUUUGCUCUCCAGUCCUUGGUUCAUGUAAAUCUGAAUCUAGCCGGCACUACCCCUUCACAAGCUGUUGCAUAGUCUUCAGCGAGGUGCGGCGCAACUUCCGUGUGAGGGGAAAUGAACUUCUCCACGAAUACCUUCUCUCUCACCUUGAAAGCGGUAUAGUAGUAGCCUGGGUUGCACUUGAGCAAUCCAUUUUCCAUGAGAAACUUUACAACGUAGUACCUGGGUUUCAUCCAGCCCUCCAGCUGUAAUUGAUAAUUACUGACCGUUGAGCAAUGUAGGUAGGUUCCAACCCCACCUCAGAGAUGAGGAAAUCAGACCUGCGCUGCAGUAAUUCCUUUGACUUCCUCAGCAGACACGGAGCGUUACGCACAACAAUGCUCACCUCAGCGUCUGACCACCUGAACAUCUUCUUCAAGUAGGCCACAUUGGCGGCGAUCUUCUCCUCGCUGAGGAAUCUGACAGCAUCCAACGUGUGUCUGAACAUCCUGAGCCACGAGGCAUGCCAAGGCCUUCGGCGCAUGCCACCAUCGCCCUGACGCGUUCUGGCUUGUUGCUCAGGACACCCCGCGCGCGGAGGGACAAUUUGGUGAUAUCGCAAUCAUCUAGCCCGCAUUGCCGUAGGAGCGCGACGUUGGGUUUGACCAUCCCGUCGAUGUCAGCGCCGGCGAGGUAGCCUUGCUUGAGCACCCGGAAGAGGUUCUCCGAGGAGCUGAAUAGGAGCAGGUAGUACCGCAACUUGGAAACAAUGGACCUGGAACAGAAGUGGGCGAAGGAGAGCGCGACGAGGCGCACGAUCUCAGUACGCGAGAGGCCGAGGCCGGUGAGCCCACGACGACGGGGGCUAGAGUUUUCUCUACUUUGGCGCAGAGGAACAACGGGUCUUUGGCGACGAGGGCGGCGACGUCGGUGCCGGAGAGGCCGAGGCCGGCGAGGAAGGAAAGGACGGCGUCGGGCUUGGACGGAGACUUGAGGUGGGAGAGCUUGGCGGAGGCCUUGAGUGCCUGGGGUCGGGUGAGGCCGCAGGUGGAGACGAGGUAGUCGUCGACGACGAAGCUAGGGUUUGGGGAAACGCCGGGCGCGGCGGCCGCGGAGAGGGGGCGGUGGAGAGGGGGGCCUGAGAGGUGGCGGGGGAAGAGAGGAGCCGCACGAGGAUGCAGCCACGGAGGCGGAGCAUGGCGGCGGUGGCGGCGGAGAGAUUGAUUCCCUAUGGAGGCGGGUGCGAAUGGGAUGGUGCUUCGGAGGCGGGGAUGCGGCGCCCUGGCGAGGCAGGUGAGGAACGGAGGAAGAGAACAGGAGGAGAGAUCGAAGAGGAUGGCACUUCGGCGGCGCCGCCGAAGAGAUUUUCCGGUCCGCUGUGAGUGGAGAGGAAAAAUGGGAAAUGGCAGGUGCGAUGCGAAUGGAGGCUCCGCAAAUUGCAAUAUCACUGAAUCCCAGGGGUCUUUACGUCUUUCAAAAAUACAAACUACAUUUAAAAAACAUACAUAAUACAUUGAGCCUCAUGGAAACUUUCAUAUACACAUGGAAAAUAGAUAUCCCCUCCGUUCAAUAACGUAGUGCGUAUAGAUUUUCGAAAGUCAGACUUUGCAAAAUAUGAUCAAAUUUAUAAAGAAAACUACUUAUACCUACAUUAUCAAAUAUAUAAAAUAUGAACCUACGUCUUGUCUUAUGAUGAACCUAAUGAUAUAUGUUUGACAUCUAGAUGUAAAUGUUUUUCUUCACAAACUUGGUCAAAUUUUGUUAGGUUUGACUUUUCAAAAAAUCUGUAUGCAAUCAUUAUGCAAUCGGUAUAAUAAGGAAAAUGGCUUUGAGAGAUAAGAUUAUAUCACAAAAUAAGUUAUUAUACGACUUGUACUUAUCUUGUGAUUUUUUUGUAGGUAUAGUACUUCCUCCAUUUUUAUUUACUCUGCAUAUUAGAGUUGACUGAAGUCGAACUUCGUAAAGUUUGACCAAGUUUAUAAAAAAUAUAUAAAUAUUUACCCUAACAAAUCUAUAUGAUACGAAAGUACGUUCAAUAAUGAAUAUAAUGGUAUUGAUUUGUUAUUGUACAAGUUAAUAUUUUUGACUAUAAACUUUGUCAAAAUUUAUAAAGCUUGACUUUGACUAAAACUAAUAUGGAGAGUAAAUAAAAACGAAGGGAGUAAAUGGCUAUGCUUUUUUUAUAGGUAGUAAAUGGUUACUUUUUUCCGAUUUUUUUAAAUGGUUAUGCUUGCUAAUCAAUCCAAUCCAAAUUAUAUGUCGCUCAAACAGAUGUAUCUAAUUAAUAUGGAUUGGAUGGAGCAGAAAAGUUCAUACGGAUAUAUAUUUUCUCAAAACUUGAAAGUAUGAUUUCUACAAGUAAAAAAAAUCAUAUGUGAACUAUGUUUGUUUUUAGCAUUUUGUGUGUGUUCAUGUUUUUCUCUCUCUCUCUCUCUCUCUCUCUUCAUUCUAGCCUCUUUUCCCCCACCUCACUCUGUUCUCACAUUGACAUUGUUGCCUUUUUCAACGGACUCCUACUUAUCUUUUCUAAAUUUUGCAAGGUGAGAAUUGAGAAGGUUAUUAUUCUUUAGUUUUAUGUGUAUAGCUAUAUUAGAGUUGAGAUCAAUUGCAUCGUGUCCACAAAUCCUCUAUAACACUAAGCUCCCUAGUUUUAAAAAGCCCACACUCAAUUAAGGUCUCUAAUUAGAAUUGGAUCAUCCAAUUUUGAUCGGGUCUACAAUUUCUCAAAGCUUCACAAUCCAAUUCUUUUAUACUAUACAAUAUGCUUCCUAAUUUUUAAGGCCUCAUAAUUAUUAAGGUAUUUAAUAUAGGUUGAUCAUCCAAUUUUGACUGGGUCAACAAUUUCUCAACCUCUUCAAUUGAAUUUUUUUAAUUCACUAUGUUCCAAAAUUUUGAAUCUCUUUCAUUCAAUUGAGGUAUUCAAUUUUGAUUUGGUUGACGAUUUUGACUGGGCCAAUGAUUUUCAAAUCAAUCAGCUGCAACUGACCUAUAAAAACAUAUCAAUCCCAUGCACCCCUCCCACCACAUAGAAAAAAGAAGCGUCACCAUAUGAUAUUGUAGUAUCAAUAUAGUACAUGCAACCACCGAUGCAGAAAUUUUCCCACAUAAAUAUAGGUUGGUUAGCGGAUGACACAGUCAUCUCCCCACCCGCCUAACUUAAUAUUCCAUCAGUUACUCCCUCCGUUCCACAAUGUAGCGCAUAUAAAUUUUUCUAGAAGUCAAACUUUAUAAACUUUGACCAAGUUUGUAGAGAAAAUCAUAUACAUCUAGAAUACCAAAUACGUGUGCUUAGAUACAUCACAACACAUACUUUCAUAUUAUAUACAUUUGGUAUUGUAGAUAUAAAUAGUUUUCUCUAUAAAAUUGGUCAAAGUUUAUAAAGUUUGACUUUGUAGAAAAUCUAUAUGCGCUACAUUAUGGAACGGAGGGAGUAUAAAAUAUGAAGGGUAUUAAUUUUGUAGAAAGUCAAACUUCUUUAACUUUGACCAACUUCAGAGCAAAAAUAUCAACAUCCACAAUAUUAAACAAAAAAAGUAUGGAAAUUCAUUUCGUGAUGAAUCUAAAAAUACUGAUUUAAUCUUAUGAAUUUUGAUAUAUUUCUCUACAAAUUUGAUGAAACUUAAAAGGUUUGAUUUUAAAAAAUAUAAUACACAUUAUAUUGGGAAACAGAGUGAUUAGUUUUUUAAGAUAUCCAACAACAUGAACGGCGCAGCAAAGCGCGCACAACCCUUCUAGUUAGUAGUAUAUCUAAGAACAAUUGGCAUCCCAUUGAUGAUCGAUCAACCUUCUUAGUCCAGCUAGUGGCUGGUCGUCUAGAGAUCUAUAUGGAGUCAGUUGAGAUGCGAUGGUCAGCCAAGUGGGUUGAUCAAUGCUCCUCUUAAAAUUCGAAGCCUAAAGUAGAUGUGCUACUCGAGAAAUAAAAAGACCAACGUAGACCGUACUAACAUCUAAUAUUUGACGUCACAUUUGAAUUUGAUACUAUUCACAUCCAUAAUUGUCCCUUUGCUCAUCGAAUUAUGAAUCUUAUAUAAAUGUUGUAAAUGAUCAAUUUUAUAAUAAUUUUAGGGUUGUAGUUCGGUGCAUAGGUAGCUCAGAGGAACCAUAGCCGUCACUUCCUCUCCAAAAAAGCUUAGGGUUCCUAUGCGGCCAUGCCUCCCGUGGCGCCGCUGCCGGUCCACCUCGUCUCCGGUGGCCCUAGGGCCAUGGGGACACGGUGGAUCUCAUCCCUUACCAGCGGGAGGGCUUCGUUUUUAAAUAUUUCUUUGAAUUUUGUUAGGGUUGUGUCCUGCUAAAGAGGAUAAGACAACGACGGCUUCGUGAAGAUUGAAUAAGGUUCUUCCCGCCUAGCCCCCGUCUCGAUGGCGCAUCUAACAUCGUCGGAGAGUGUGUGGAGGUGUGUCUCCGGCGGAUCUCACAGGAUUCGGUAGGUGGUUUGUCUUUGGUGGAUCUACUCGGACCCGGUCUUCGUUCGUCUACAUUUGUCUGUCAUUAGAUUGGAUCCUUCCGAUCUAUGGGUCUCAUCAUCGGCGGGGGUUACUAUUCUAUUGCGCUGGUCCUACGAGGCCUUAGCACGACAAGUUCCCGGCUGUCUACUACAAUAAGUUCUGCCCGGCUCCGGCGAGGGAAGGGCGAUGACAACGGCGCGUCUUCGGCUCGCUUUAAUGCUUGUAGUCUUUGCUAGAUGGUCUACGGAUGGAUGCGAUUUUUAUUAUUCCUAUUGUUCAUUGUAUUGUCAUGAUUGAAAAUAAAAAGAUCGAAAGAUUUCUCACAGAUAAGAAGCUCAGAAGAACCAUUAAAAGGACAAUCGUGUGGUCUCCCUAGAUGGUCCUUGGAGGGAGCGAUGUAAUUUCAUUUCCUUUUUAUUGCAUUCUCAUGAAUCUACGGGAUACACAGAUUUGGAAUAGCCAUGCGUUAUAUAGGUUUGGAAAAGAUGAAUGGGCAGGACAAAGCCCAUCAAGGUCCAGAGUUGAACAUGGUAUUUUUCUCUUCCCUGAUCUUGUGUGGUUGUUACAUUACAACGAGGACUAGAUGCAUUCAUUAACCUGAGGAGACUAUAUACGGUGAUUAUAUCGUGGUUAUCAUAUUUACCUAUUUUACAAAGAAUGAUCGGAUAUAAUUUACUGGUACAAUCCAUUGUGUGCCUUUCACGCUUCCGUCAGUUUAGUUUCCUCACACUUUAAGUAGUCUUGUGAAGUUGUGAUCAGGUAGCUCGCAAUCCAAAUUUCUGUAAUGAAUAUUUUUUUUUGGUCCAACGAGUAAAACGUAGACUUGGUGACCCUCAAAAGGGAUGAUAUUUUACAUAACGAGUAAAUCAUGAUGUCCUUAGAUAUUUCUUAUGAGUAUUUCUUCUUUUCUGCGGAAAAGUUUCUUGUCUUCCGAACUCUUGGAUGUGGGCAGAACUCUUGAUGAGCCGAGGCACCCGCAGCAUGCCAUUGUGAGUCAAGUUUGCCAUUGUUUGAUGGGAAGUUUUCAAGUGCUACAUGUAGAAGGACGCUAUAGUGGCUGCAAUCUUGCUGCUAAGUGACACGUACUGUCACCCUGUUUCUAAUGAAAAAAACUGAAGAACAAUGACUCAUUUAAACAUUGUUCAAUUUUGUGGUUCAUGAUGUUGGAAAUAUGCCCUAGAGGCAAUAAUAAAAGUAUUAUUAUAUUUCAAUGUUCAUGAUAAAUGUCUUUUAUUCAUGCUAUAACUGUAUUAUCCGGAAAUCGUAAUACACGUGUGAAUACUUAGACCACAAUAUGUCCCUGGUGAGCCUCUAGUUGACUAGCUCGUUGUGAUCAACAGAUAGUCAUGGUUUCUUGACUAUGGACAUUGGAUGUCGUUGAUAACGGGAUCACAUCAUUAGGAGAAUGAUGUGAUGGACAAGACCCAAUCCUAAGCAUAGCAUAAAAGAUCGUGUAGUUCGUUUUGCUAGAGCUUUGCCAAUGUCAAGUAUCUCUUCCUUCGACCAUGAGAUCGUGUAACUCCCGGAUACCGUAAGAGUGCCUUGGGUGUAUCAAACGUCACAACGUAACUGGGUGACUAUAAAGGUGCAUUACAGGUAUCUCCGAAAGUAUCUGUUGGGUUGACACGGAUCGAGACUGGGAUUUGUCACUCCGUAUGACGGAGAGGUAUCUCUGGGCCCACUCGGUAAUGCAUCAUCAUAAUGAGCUCAAUGUGACCAAGGUGUUGGACACGGGAUCAUGCAUUACGGUACGAGUAAAGUGACUUGCCGGUAACGAGACUGAACAAGGUAUUGGGAUACCGACGAUCGAGUCUCGGGCAAGUAACGUACUGAUUGACAAAGGGAAUUGUAUACAGGGUUUGAUUGAAUCCUUGACAUCGUGGUUCAUCCGAUGACAACAUCGAGGAGCAUGUGGGAGCCAUCAUGGGUAUCCAGAUCCCGCUGUUGGUUAUUGACCUGAGAGCAUCUCGGUCAUGUCUGCAUGUCUCCCGAACCCGUAGGGUCUACACACUUAAGGUUCGGUGACGCUAGGGUUAUUAGGAAGACUAGUAUGUGACUACCGAAUAUUGUUCGGAGUUCCGGAUGGGAUCCUGGACGUCACGAGGAGCUCCGGAAGGGUCCGAAGGUAAAGAUUUAUAUAUGGGAAGUUGUCAAACGGGCACCGGGAAGUUUCGGGGUCAUACCGGUAUUGUACCGGGGCCACCGGAAGGGUUCCGGGGGUCCACCGGGAGGGGCCACCCCUCCCGGGGGGGCACAUGGGCUGCGUGGGGCAGGGAGCCAGCCCCUGGUGGGCUGGGCGCACCCCCUCCCUUGGGCCCUUGCGCCUAGGGUUGAGGGGGGAACCCUAGAGGGGGCGCCCCCUUGGCUUGGGGGGCAAGCCACCCUCUCCCCCUCUCCCCUUGGCCGCCGCACCCCCCUAGAUGGGUUCUAGGGGGCCGGCCCCCUUCUCCCUUCCCCCAACAAAUAGAGGGGUGAGGGGAGGGCAGCCGCACCACCCUCCAAGGCGCAGCCCUCCCCUCCCCAACACCUCUCCUCCUCUGUUGUGUGCUUGGCGAAGCCCUGUCGGAGUACUGCCUCUCCACCAUCACCACGCCGUCGUGCUGCCGGUGGAGCUGUCUUCCUCAACCUCUCCUCCCCCCUUGCUGGAUCAAGAAGGAGGAGACGUCUCCCGUCCCGUACGUGUGUUGAACGCGGAGGUGCUGUCCGUUCAGCACUUGGUCAUCGGUGAUUCGAAUCACGUCGAGUACGAUUCCAUCAUCACCUUGCAAGCUUCCGCACGCGAUCUACAAGUGGUAUGUAGAUGCAAACUCACUCCCUUGACUCGUUGCUUAGAUGAACUCAUAGAUGGAUCUUGGUGAAACCGUAGGAAAAAUUUUAAUUUUCUGCAACGUUCCCCAACAGUGGCAUCAUGAGCCAGGUUUAUGCGUAGUUCUCUUUGCACGAGUAGAACACAAUUUUGUUGUGGGCGUGGAUUUUGUCAUCUUACUUGCCUCUACUAGUCUUUUCUUGCUCAACGGUAUUGUGGGAUGAAGCGGCCCGGACCAACCUUACACGUACGCUUACGUGAGACCGGUUCCACCGAGUGACAUGCACUAGUUGCAUAAGGUGGCUGGCGGGUGUCUGUCUCUCCCACUUUAGUUGGAGCGGAAUCGAUGAACAGGGCCCUUAUGAAGGGUAAAUAGAAGUUGACAAAAUCACGUUGUGGUGAUUCGUAGGUAAGAAAAUGUUCUUGCUAGAACCCAAUUGCAGCCACGUAAAAGAUGCAACAACAAUUAGAGGAUGUCUAACUUGUUUUUGCAGCGAUUGAUCAUGUGAUGUGAUAUGGCCAGAAGUUGUGAUGAAUGAUGAAUUGUGAUGUAUGAGAUCAUGUUCUUUGUAAUAGGAUUCACGACUUGCAUGUCGAUGAGUAUGACAACCGGCAGGAGCCAUAGGAGUUGUCUUUAUUUUUUGUAUGACCUGCAUGUCAUUGAAUAACGCCAUGUAAACUACUUUACUUUAUUGCUAAACGUUAGUCAUAGAAGUAGAAGUAGUCGUUGGCGUGACAACUUCAUGAAGACACGAUGAUGGAGAUCAUGAUGAUGGAGAUCAUGGUGUCAAGCCGGUGACAAGAUGAUCAUGGAGCCCCGAAGAUGAAGAUCAAUGGAGCUAUAUGAUAUUGGCCAUAUCAUGUCACAACUAUAUAAUUGCAUGUGAUGUUUAUUAUGUAUUAUGCAUCUUGUUUACUUAGGACGACGGUAGUAAAUAAGAUGAUCCCUUAUAAAAUUUCAAGAAGUGUUCUCCCCUAACUGUGCACCGUUGCUACAGUUCGUCGCUUCUAAGCAACACGUGAUGAUCGGGUGUGAUGGAUUCUUACGUUCACAUACAACGGGUGUAAGACAGUUUUACACAGCGAAAACACUUAGGGUUAACUUGACGAGCCUAGCAUGUGCAGACAUGGCCUCGGAACACGGAGACCGAAAGGUCGAACACGAAUCGUAUGGAAGAUACGAUCAACAUGAGAAUGUUCACCGACGAUGACUAGUCCGUCUCACGUGAUGAUCGGACACGGGCUAGUCGACUCGGAUCGUGUAACACUUAGAUGACUAGAGGGAUGUCUAAUCUAAGUGGGAGUUCAUAAUUUGAUUAGAACUUUAUUAUCAUGAACUUAGUCUAAAACCUUUGCAAAUAUGUCUUGUAGAUCAAUGGCCAACGCUAAUGUCAACAUGAACUUCAACGCGUUCCUAGAGAAAACCAAGCUGAAAGAUGAUGGCAGCAACUAUACGGACUGGGUCCGGAACCUGAGGAUCAUCCUCAUAGCUGCCAGGAAACAAUAUGUCCUAGAAGGACCGCUAGGUGACGCUCCCGUCGCAGAGAACCAAGACAUUAUGAAUGCUUGGCAGUCUCGUGCUGAUGAUUACUCCCUCGUUCAGUGCGGCAUGCUUUACAGCUUAGAACCGGGGCUCCAAAAGCGUUUUGAGCAUCACGGAGCAUAUGAGAUGUUCGAAGAGCUGAAACUAGUUUUCCAAGCUCAUGCCCGGGUCGAGAGAUAUGAUGUCUCCGACAAGUUCUACAGUUGUAAGAUGGAGGAAAAUAGUUCUGUCAGUGAGCACAUCCUGAAGAUGUCUGGGUUGCACAACCGUAUGACCCAGCUGAACAUUAACCUCCCAGAUGAGGCGGUCAUUGACAGAAUCCUCCAGUCGCUCCCACCAAGCUACAAGAGCUUUGUGAUGAACUACAACAUGCAGGGGAUGGAAAAGACCAUUCCUGAAGUGUUCUCGAUGCUGAAGUCAGCAGAGGCUGAAAUCAAGAAAGAACAUCAAGUGUUGAUGGUCAAUAAGACCACUAAGUUCAAGAAGGGCAAGGGUAAGAAGAACUUCAAGAAGGACGGCAAGGAGGUUGCCGCGCCUGGUAAGCCAGUUACCGGGAAGAAGUCAAAGAAUGGACCUAAGCCUGAGACUGAGUGUUUUUAUUGCAAGGGGAAGGGUCACUGGAAGCGGAACUGCCCCAAAUACUUAGCGGAUAAGAAGGCCGGCAACACCAAAGGUAUAUUUGAUAUACAUGUGAUUGAUGUGUACCUUACUAGUACUCGUAGUAACUCCUGGGUAUUUGAUACCAGUGCCGUUGCUCAUAUUUGUAACUCACAGCAGGAGCUGCGGAAUAAACGGAGACUGGCGAAGGACGAGGUGACGAUGCGCGUCGGGAAUGGUUCCAGAGUCGAUGUGAUCGCCGUCGGCACGCUGCCUCUACAUUUACCUACGGGAUUAGUUUUGAACCUGAAUAAUUGUUAUUUAGUGCCAAGUUUGAGCAUGAACAUUGUAUCUGGAUCUCGUUUAAUACGAGAUGGCUACUCAUUUAAGUCUGAGAAUAAUGGUUGUUCGAUUUAUAUGAGAGAUAUGUUUUAUGGUCAUGCUCCGAUGGUCAAUGGUUUAUUCUUAAUGAAUCUCGAGCGUAAUAUUACACAUGUUCAUAGUGUAGAUGCCAAAAGAUUUAAAGUUGAUAACGAUAGUCCCACAUACUUGUGGCACUGCCGCCUUAGUCACAUUGGUGUCAAGCGCAUGAAGAAGCUCCAUGCCGAUGGACUUUUAGAGUCUCUUGAUUAUGAAUCGUUUGACACGUGCGAACCAUGCCUCUUGGGCAAAAUGACCAAGACUCCGUUCUCCGGAACAAUGGAGCGAGCAACCAACUUGUUGGAAAUCAUACAUACCGAUGUGUGCGGUCCAAUGAGCGUUGAGGCUCGCGGAGGAUAUCGUUAUGUUCUCACUCUCACUGAUGACUUGAGUAGAUAUGGGUAUGUCUACUUAAUGAAACACAAGUCUGAGACCUUUGAAAAGUUCAAAGAAUUUCAGAAUGAGGUAGAGAAUCAACGUGACCGAAAGAUAAAAUUCUUACGAUCAGAUCGUGGAGGAGAAUACUUAAGUCACGAAUUUGGUACACACUUAAGGAAAUGUGGAAUCGUUUCACAACUCACGCCGCCUGGAACACCUCAGCGAAACGGUGUGUCCGAACGUCGUAAUCGCACUCUAUUGGAUAUGGUGCGGUCUAUGAUGUCUCUUACCGAUUUACCGCUAUCAUUUUGGGGAUACGCUCUAGAGACAGCUACAUUCACUUUAAAUAGGGCACCGUCUAAAUCCGUUGAGACGACACCGUAUGAAUUAUGGUUUGGAAAGAAACCUAAGAUGUCGUUUCUAAAAUUUUGGGGAUGCGAUGCUUAUGUCAAGAAACUUCAACCUGAAAAGCUCGAACCCAAGUCGGAAAAAUGCGUAUUCAUAGGAUACCCUAAGGAAACUGUCGGGUAUACCUUCUACUUAAGAUCCGAAGGCAAGAUCUUUGUUGCCAAGAACGGAUGCUUUCUGGAAAAAGAGUUUCUCUCGAAAGAAGUAAGUGGGAGGAAAGUAGAACUCGAUGAAGUACUACCUCUUGAGCGGGAAAGUGGCGCAGCGCAGGAAACCGUUUCUGUGAUGCCCACACCAACUGAAGAGGAAAACAAUGAUGAUGAUCAAGGUACUUCGGAUCAAGUUACUAUUGAACUUCGUAGGUCCACAAGGACACGUUCCGCACCAGAGUGGUACGGCAACCCUGUCCUGGAAAUCAUGUUGUUGGACAACAAUGAACCUUCGAACUAUGAAGAAGCGAUGGCGGGCCCGGAUUCCAACAAAUGGCUUGAAGCCAUGAAAUCCGAGAUAGAAUCCAUGUAUGAAAACAAAGUAUGGACUUUGACAGACUUGCCCGAUGAUCGGCGAGCGAUAGAAAACAAAUGGAUUUUUAAGAAGAAGACGGACGCGGAUGGUAAUGUUACAAUCUAUAAGGCUCGACUUGUCGCUAAGGGUUAUCGACAAGUUCAAGGGAUUGACUACGACGAGACUUUCUCUCCUGUAGCGAAGCUGAAGUCCGUUCGAAUCAUGCUAGCAAUUGCCGCAUACUAUGAUUAUGAGAUAUGGCAGAUGGACGUCAAAACAGCAUUCCUUAACGGGCAUCUUAAGGAAGAACUGUAUAUGAUGCAGCCGGAAGGUUUUGUCGAUCCUCGGAACGCUAACAAAGUAUGCAAGCUCCAGCGAUCCAUUUAUGGACUGGUGCAAGCAUCUCGGAGUUGGAACAUUCGCUUUGAUGAGAUGAUCAAAGCGUUUGGGUUUAUGCAGACUUAUGGAGAAGCCUGCGUUUACAAGAAAGUGAGUGGGAGCUCUGUAGCAUUUCUCAUAUUAUAUGUAGAUGACAUACUCUUGAUGGGAAACAAUAUAGAAUUUCUGGACAGCAUUAAGGCCUACUUGAAUAAGUGUUUUUCAAUGAAGGACCUUGGAGAAGCUGCUUAUAUAUUAGGCAUCAAGAUCUAUAGAGAUAGAUCGAGACGCCUCAUAGGUCUUUCACAAAGCACAUACCUUGAUAAGAUUUUGAAGAGGUUCAAAAUGGAUCAGUCCAAGAAGGGGUUCUUGCCUAUGUUACAAGGUGUGAGAUUGAGCUCGGCUCAGUCACCGACCACGGCAAAAGAUAAAGAAGAGAUGAGUGUCAUCCCCUAUGCUUCAGCCAUAGGAUCUAUUAUGUAUGCCAUGCUGUGUACCAGACCCGAUGUAAACCUUGCCGUAAGUUUGGUAGCAAGAUACCAAAGUAAUCCCGGCAAGGAACACUGGACAGCGGUCAAGAAUAUCCUGAAGUACCUGAAAAGGACGAAGGACAUGUUUCUCGUUUAUGGAGGAGACGAAGAGCUCGUCGUAAAGGGUUACGUCGACGCUAGCUUCGACUCAGAUCUGGAUGACUCUAAGUCACAAACCGGAUACGUGUAUAUGUUGAAUGGUGGAGCAGUAAGCUGGUGCAGCUGCAAGCUGAGCGUCGUGGCGGGAUCUACGUGUGAAGCGGAGUACAUGGCAGCCUCGGAGGCAGCGCAUGAAGCGAUUUGGGUGAAGGAGUUCAUCACCGACCUAGGAGUCAUACCCAAUGCGUCGGGGCCGAUCAAACUCUUCUGUGACAACACUGGAGCUAUUGCCCUCGCCAAGGAGCCCAGGUUUCACAAGAAGACCAGGCACAUCAAGCGUCGUUUCAACUCCAUCCGUGAAAAUGUUCAAGAUGGAGACAUAGAGAUUUGCAAAGUGCACACGGAUCUGAAUGUCGCAGAUCCGCUGACUAAACCUCUCUCGCGUGCAAAACAUGAUCAACACCAGAACUCUAUGGGUGUUCGAUUCAUCACAAUGUAACUAGAUUGGUGACUCUAGUGCAAGUGGGAGACUGUUGGAAAUAUGCCCUAGAGGCAAUAAUAAAAGUAUUAUUAUAUUUCAAUGUUCAUGAUAAAUGUCUUUUAUUCAUGCUAUAACUGUAUUAUCCGGAAAUCGUAAUACACGUGUGAAUACUUAGACCACAAUAUGUCCCUGGUGAGCCUCUAGUUGACUAGCUCGUUGUGAUCAACAGAUAGUCAUGGUUUCCUGACUAUGGACAUUGGAUGUCGUUGAUAACGGGAUCACAUCAUUAGGAGAAUGAUGUGAUGGACAAGACCCAAUCCUAAGCAUAGCAUAAAAGAUCGUGUAGUUCGUUUUGCUAGAGCUUUGCCAAUGUCAAGUAUCUCUUCCUUCGACCAUGAGAUCGUGUAACUCCCGGAUACCGUAAGAGUGCCUUGGGUGUAUCAAACGUCACAACAUAACUGGGUGACUAUAAAGGUGCUUACAGGUAUCUUCGAAAGUAUCUGUUGGGUUGACACGGAUCGAGACUGGGAUUUGUCACUCCGUAUGACGGAGAGGUAUCUCUGGGCCCACUCGGUAAUGCAUCAUCAUAAUGAGCUCAAUGUGACCAAGGUGUUGGACACGGGAUCAUGCAUUACGGUACGAGUAAAGUGACUUGCCGGUAAUGAGACUGAACAAGGUAUUGGGAUACCGACGAUCGAGUCUCGGGCAAGUAACGUACCGAUUGACAAAGGGAAUUGUAUACAGGGUUUGAUCGAAUCCUUGACAUCGUGGUUCAUCCGAUGACAACAUCGAGGAGCAUGUGGGAGCCAUCAUGGGUAUCCAGAUCCCGCUGUUGGUUAUUGACCUGAGAGCGUCUCGGUCAUGUCUGCAUGUCUCCCGAACCCGUAGGGUCUACACACUUAAGGUUCGGUGACGCUAGGGUUAUUAGGAAGACUAGUAUGUGACUACCGAAUGUUGUUCGGAGUCCCGGAUGGGAUCCUGGACGUCACGAGGAGCUCCGGAAGGGUCCGGAGGUAAAGAUUUAUAUAUGGGAAGUUGUCAAACGGGCACCGGGAAGUUUCGGGGUCAUACCGGUAUUGUACCUGGGCCACCGGAAGGGUUCCGGGGGUCCACCGGGAGGGGCCACCCCUCCCGGGGGGGCCACAUGGGCUGCGUGGGGCAGGGAGCCAGCCCCUGGUGGGUUGGGCGCACCCCCUCCUUUGGGCCCUUGCGCCUAGGGUUGAGGGGGGAACCCUAGAGGGGGCGCCCCCUUGGCUUGGGGGGCAAGCCACCCUCUCCCCCUCUCCCCUUGGCCGCCGCACCCCCCUAGAUGGGUUCUAGGGGGCCGGCCCCCUUCUCCCUUCCCCCAAUAAAUAGAGGGGUGAGGGGAGGGCAGCCGCACCACCCUCCAAGGCGCAGCCCUCCCCUCCCCAACACCUCUCCUCCUCCGUUGUGUGCUUGGCGAAGCCCUGUCGGAGUACUGCCUCUCCACCAUCACCACGCCGUCGUGCUGCCGGUGGAGCUGUCUUCCUCAACCUCUCCUUCCCCCUUGCUGGAUCAAGAAGGAGGAGACGUCUCCCGUCCCGUACGUGUGUUGAACGCGGAGGUGCUGUCCGUUCAGCACUUGGUCAUCGGUGAUUCGAAUCACGUCGAGUACGACUCCAUCAUCACCUUGCAAGCUUCCGCACGCGAUCUACAAGUGGUAUGUAGAUGCAAACUCACUCCCUUGACUCGUUGCUUAGAUGAACUCAUAGAUGGAUCUUGGUGAAACCGUAGGAAAAAUUUUAAUUUUCUGCAACGUUCCCCAACACAUGAGCCUUUUCUUCAAAGUUUACUUAAAAGUUGGGUUAUUAGGUAAAAAAUGGUUCCUUUCCUUUUGUGCUUGCAAUUUAUUGUCCUGACAAAAACACUUUUUAUUGCAGUGCUAAGAAAAUGCGUCUACUACUUGACUGAGCUAAAUACUCUUGAUAGCAAACCCUCUCUGGGCAUAUUCGUAGAUUCAAGGUGAGGAGACAUGCCAGCAUACAGACCAGCCUUAAAAAUAGUCAGAUAAACAUUGCAAGAUGUACAUACAUGGCACAUGUACGAUGUUCUAACAAGAGCAUAAAGUUGAUUGAUUCUUGAUAGCAUCACCUGAAUAUAUCACUCACGGAUUCAUGAAUGUUCCCCGUUGCAAUGCACGGCCAUUCACCUAGUAAAGGCAAUGAUUUGUUGGUAGUAGAGGCAUCUCAUGUUUCAAAGGGUUAAACCUUACCGUCGUGACCCGGCUCCAUGGCUGGGUCAAUCUUGCACCUCUGUUGGUGCCGAACCCUAGGCAAAUUCCCCCAAAUCUCUUGUUGUUUCUAUUGAUUGACCGAAUGUGAGGAGCGAUAGUAGAUCAAUAACUCUCGUAUAACCGAGGGAAAAAGAAAUGAAGAGAAGUUGGCGAAAGUAUCAAGUGGUACAUCUACUUUUUAUAAUAUCACAUGAAGCCGGCAAAAAGGAAAGCCGACCAACGAAGAAACUGCAUAGGGGACCUAUCAUGAGUGAACAUUGCGUGGGCGCCACUGGCCGCAUCUCAUCAUAUUGUUGUGUAGAAGAAGAAAUGACCGCCGAUGCUGCUGGUGCCUCCAUCUCUACGACCUUGCCGUCCAAGCCCGCAAUAGCAACAAACACGUAGCACUAGAGCACGGGAGGAGAGGUGAUCAGGGAAAUUCGUCUUUCUUGAUGGCAGGAUAAUUAGUGAUGGGCGACUCCACGCGACGCUGAUGUGAUUUCAGGCCACACUAAAGGAUGUCGGAGAAGGGGGCCGUAGGACGAACUCAACAACAUCGGUAGUGGGCUUGGUGGAUAUUGUGUCGAGGGCUCGGGGACGCACUCGGUGAAGGUGGUGGACCUCGGGGAGGGGGCCCUCAUACACGUGGAUGCAGGGGAAAAGAGGGUGCACGGGCUUGGAGGCAUUACUCAUCCACCUCUUCUGGCAAAGAGAGCUCAUCGGGGCCAACCGCGUGAAGGAGGAGCUUGAGGUAGCUUGGAGGAGGCGACGACGGCAGCCAGAUCCAUGUGGCAAGCCAGAGUGGAGGCAUCCCACAUGGGAGCAGUGAUUUCAGAGCCUAAGCUUAGAUGCACCUGCUAUUAUGUUUGUUCAUUGCUGCAUGGAGAUUCGGGAAAUGGGGCAUGAGGUUGCAUUGCUAGGGCGUGGAAAAUCCCCAAAACGAACUAUACAUGCAUGAAUAGUGCGAUACAUGUGGGUCUAUCAUGUAGCACACGAGGAGGGUUCGAACGAAGGACAAGCAGUGCCAUCUUGGUUGGAUUCUGAUCCAUGGCACCUAAUCGUCUGCAUUCAUCUAAGUCGUGGCUCACUUUGCUAGCCCGUGGUGUGACUUUGAAACUUUGAAUCCGAGUCAUGGCCUAAAGAUUUGUAUAGCUCCAGUUGGGGCCUGCGGUGUAGGAUCGUCAGUACGCACACCGAAUGUCAUCCACGACCGACAUCGGCCAACAGAUUGCUAGCUUACCAGACGCUACAAGAGGUAGCGUCCUUCGUGAAGUUUGUGUGCUUCAUCACCAACCAGGUCAUCCUAAGCCAUAAUGGACAACCCAUUCAUCUACGUAGUUGACUUCAACACUGGAGACGACUUCUCAUGGUCGUUGAUCAUGUCACACCUUGCUCACCAUGGCAACAAGCUGUUUCAUGUCACGUCACUUGCCACCACAUUAAUGCACCGCACGGAUACGCAUGCACCAACAGUCGUGCAUGGUGUCCGUCGGAGUUCGCGCGCGUCCCUAGGGUCUCCCAUUCCAGUACGAUGAGAAGGACCUCCUGGUCUGGGCUGGAAGUCACGUAAUGGUACCUACAACAAUCUCGAAAAGAGUAGAAGGCCUGGAUUUCAAGAGCAUCUGAGCUCGCACUUAGAAAUCUAUUUUUGUUCCCACGGUCCAUACAUAGAGAGAAACUAGAAAAGAAAACGCAAAACACGCAUACAUGCAUGCAUGCUUCCACAAAUGGGUUACCACAUACCUUUCUAGGAUUCUGGUGACCUCACAUUCAUUGUUGACCCCUUAUGACCUCACAUUCAUGGGAGAGAUUUCCUGAUCUCACAUUGUCUCUAUAAAAGUCUAUCACCUCUACGAAUCAUGUGUCUCCACCAUUUCAAAUCCUCCGCGCGCCUAACAUACCACUUGAGAAAUUACUAAUGGCCAACAGAAAGAAUGUCAUGGCCAUGUUAUUUCUCACCACCAUUGUGGCGGUGGCGGCCACAAGGCCAGCCGAGACCUAUGGCGUUGCGGAGGAGAACACAUUGAAGAUGGCUACCCCCAGCAGGAAAGGGGUUGACGCUACCUUAGCAACUACACGUGUUGUUGCCGCCGAGAAGUCCAUCAAGAAGGCUGAAAGCGUCACCACACCAGAAGAGGCCGCGGCUGCCAAGCAAGAUGGAGCAAAAUCUGCUUCUGCUGCAUUAAAGUACAAUGCCAUCUCUCAGCAGGCAAAUGGUAAAGGUUCUUCUACCUCCCUAGGCAGGAAAGAAGCAGCCAAUACUUUAGCCGCCGCACACUAUGCCGCCACCGAGAAGUCCAUCAAGAAGGCCGAAACCACCAAGACACCUGCAAAGGUCGUGGCUGCCAAGCGAGACGCAGCAAAGUCUGUUGAUGAUGCAUUAAAGUAUGGUGCCAUCUCUCGGAAAGCAGCUGGUACAAGUUCUUCUACCUCCCCCAAUAAGAAAGAAGGCACCACUGAUGCUGCUAAGAUGUUCACCAAGAAGGCUGAAACCGCUACCACACCUGAAGAGGCCGCGGCUGCCAAGCAAGCUGCAGCCAAGUCUACCGCUGCUGCAUCAAAGUAUGGUGUCAUUUCUCAGCAAGUAGCUGGUACAAGUUCUUCUACCUCCCCUAGCAGGAAAGAAGCUGCCGGUACCUUGGCAGAUGCUCGCAUAGCUGCUGCCGAGAAGUCCAUCAAGAAGGCUGAAACCGCCACAAGACCUGAAGAGGCAGCAUCCGCUAAGAAGGAUGCCACAAAAUCCGAGGCUGAUGCAAUGAAGUACGGGGCCAUCUCUCAGCAGGCCGCCGGCAAAAAUGGUGCCUAAGUGGUGCCUUAAACACCUAUUCACACGCAACAUCAUCUACAUACUACCAUGCAUGCAAAAUAGCAGCAUUCAGAUACCACAUUAUGCUAAUUCUCAUGCAUGCACACUUUGUUUAAACGUUCCCAUUACGAAUCAUGUAUUAAUGUCUUGCUUGUUUUAUUUUUAGUAGUAAGACAUGCUUGACUUGCUUUAAAAAAAAUACAACAAUCGAUGUAUACAUGUAUUAUCUAAAAAUCAGUAAUAUGAGUUCCACCGCAAUUUGUUUCUUUUUGUCAUAAUUUGGGUGCAAUCAAUGCACACAUCCAAUACACAAAAUUGGACGACUCAAUGUGUUGUGGCUCCAUGGAGCGGCGAAUCAUGUUUUAUUGUCUUGCUUGUUUUACUUUUAGUAGUAAUGUCUUGCUGGUCAAUGUAUUAUGGCUCCAUGGAGCGGCAUAAUGAUAUAUGAUAUAUCUUCACUACUUCAAAAAGAACUUAAGGUUUCGUCAUACAUCUUUCCUUCAUCCAUCCUCCCUACGAAUCCUUCCUGUUUUGAUUUUUUUCUCCCAUCUUUGAUUUUUCUCCCCAUUGAUUCUACCUAAAAACCACCUCAAUGUCACAUGUUUACUGUAUAUGUCAAGGCCUCCUUUGGUUCAUAGGGUAGAAAAAAACAUAGGAAUAGGAAAGUCAUAGGAAAUGAGAUGACAUGUAUCUCAAAUCCUAUGAUUGGGAAUAGGAAAGGAGAUGCCCUUUGAUUCACAUCAUAGGAUUUUUUCAUUGAAUCUAGGCUAAUGUUUAUUUUCCUAUGAAAUGUGAAGGAGAGGAAGAAUUCCUCCAUAGGAUUAGGAUUCCAUUCCUACAAACCAAAGGACUCUAAAGGAAUUUUUUCUAUAGAAAUCCUAUCCUAUGAAAUUCUUACAAGAUUCCUCCAAAUCAAAGGAGGCCCAAGUGGUUGUGAUGAGACAGUGGCUGGGCACUUCAGAUUUAUUCCCGUAACUGACUGUCAAAUUGAGUCAUCUGUCGUCCUUUCGAUGAUUGUAAGAAAGUUAUAUGUUUACUGUAUGUGCCAAUUGGUUGUGAUUAUCGUUACCGGCCACAAAGUUAUAUUUUCUUGUCUUAACGAAGGGUUGCAUACAAUGCGUGUAGCUCUUGACGCCUGAUAACCCACAAGUAUAGGGGAUCGCAACAGUUUUUGAGGGUAGAGUAUUCAACACAAAUUUAUAGAUUCGACACAAGGGGAGCCAAAGAAUAUUUGUAAGUAUUAACAGCUGAGUUAUCAAUUCAACCACACCUGGAGAUUAAUUAUCUGCAGCAAAGUGAUCAGUAGCAUAGUAGUAUGAUAGUUUUGAUAGUAGUAGCAACAUCAACAGUAACGGUAAUAGUGGUAGCAAUGGUUUUGUAGCAGUGACAAUAGUAACAGCAGCAGUAGUAACUUAGCAAGAACAAUAUGUACGAAAAUCGUACGCAUUGGAUCGGUGAUUUGUUGGAUGAUAUUCAUCAUGUGACAGUUACAACCUAGGACGAUACGGCACUAGCUCCAGUUCAUAAAUAUAAUGUAGGCAUGUAUUCUAUAAAUAAUCAUACGUGCUUAUGGAAAGAACUUGUAUGACAUCUUUUGUCCUACCCUCCUGUGGCAGCGGUGUCCUAUUGGAAACUAAGGGAUAUUAAGGCCUCCUUUUAAUAGAGAACCAGAACAAAGCAUUAACACACGGUGAAUACAUGAACUCCUCAAACUACGGUCAUCACAGGGAAGUGUCCCGACUAUUGUCACUCCGGGGUUGCCGGAUCAUAACACGUAGUAGGUAACUAUAACUUGCAAGAUUGGAUCUAGAACAUAGAUAUAAUGGUGAUAACAUAAGUCAUAGCAACAUCAAUCUCAGAACAUAAUGGAUACUCGGGAUGAAGCCCUAACAAAACUAACUCAAUUACAUGAUGAAUCUCAUCCAACUCCUCACCGACCAGCGAGCCUACGAAGGAAUUACUCACUCCUGGUGGGGAGCAUCAUGGAAUUGGCGAUGGAGAAGGGUUGGUGAUGACGAAGAUCGAAGACCCCCCUCUCUGGAGCCCCAAACGGACUCCAAAUCUAGCCUCCCGAUGAAGAACAGGAGAUGACGGCGGCUCUGUCUCGUGGAUCGUGAUAAUUCUUUCUUCCUGAUUUUUUCUGGAAAAAUAGGAUUUUAUAGCGUCGGAUUCAGGGCCUGCGGGGCCACCAGGUGGGGACAACCCACCUGGGUGUGCUUGGAGGGGGGGGGCCUGGUGGGUUGUGCCCAUCCAGGUGCCCCCCUCCGGUUGUUCUUGGCUCCAGAAAUUCUCUGUAUUUGUAUAAAAAUUCCUCGCAAAGUUUUGUUCCAAUCCGAAAACUUUUAUUUCUGCACAAAAAAAACACCAUGGUAGUUUUGUUGGAAACAGCGUCAGUCCGGGUUAGUUUCAUUCAAAUCAUGCAAAUUAGAGUGCAAAACAAGAGGAAAGUGUUAGGAAAAGUAGAUACGACGGAGAUGUAUCAACUCCUCCAAGCUUAAACCUUUGCUUGUCCUCAAGCAAUUCAGUUGAUAAACUGAAAGUGAAAAAAAAAUUACGAACUCUUUUGCUCUUGUUUUCAUAAAUAAGCUUAAACAUCACCCAGUGUCGAUGUCAAAACCGGCGGAUCUCGGAUAGGGGGUCCCGAACUGUGCGUCUAGGCGGAUGGUAACAGGAGACAAGGGACACGAUGUUUACCCAGGUUCGGGCCCUCUCGAUGGAGGUAAAACCCUACUCCUGCUUGAUUAAUAUUGAUGAUAUGGGCAGUACAAGAGUAGAUCUACCACGAGAUCAAGGAGGCUAAACCCUAGAAGGUAGCCUAUGGUAUGAUUGUUGUUGUCCUACAGACUAAAACUCUCUGGUUUAUAUAGACACCGGAGAGGGUUAGGGUUACACAGAGUCGGUUACAAUGGUAGGAGAUCUACAUAUCUGUAUCGCCAAGCUUGCCUUCCACGCCAAGGAAAGUCCCUUCCAGACACGGGAAGAAGUCUUCAAUCUUGUAUGUUCAUAGUCCGGGAGUCCGGCUGAAGGUAUCGUCCGGCUAUCCGGACACCCCCUAAUUCAGGACUCCCUUAGAGCCCCCGAACCAGGCUUCAAUGACGACGAGUCUGGCACGCAAAUUGUCUUCGGCAUUGCAAGGCGGGUUCUCCUUCAAUUUCUGUGUACCUGCUGAAUAAUGUCCGGUUUCUUAUAAAUGUAGCGCUCCUCGGCUUCCACGCCCAAUAAUGGCCGUCUUCCACGUGUCAAAUGAAUACGAAAAGUCUGGGUGUUUUUACAUUCACACCCCCAGCCGCGUAAAUGAGCCGCCUAUUUAAAGGGACGGGGAUUUAGAUCCAAACCACACCUUCUCCUCUCCGCGAGUUUCAUCAGAGCGCAUCCGACAAAGGACCGUUCCAUCAUGGCCAGCCGUCGCAGCUCCUCCUCUCGCCCUUCCAGCCCUCAUCCUGGAGAUUGGGAGAGAUGCUCCGUCCCGCACAGCGAGCUAGUGUCGCUUCGGACCAAAGGGAUUUCUUCCUCCGGCCUAUAUGGUCCCGGUUCGAGCCGGACUUGCCACCUAUAAUGGCGGAGAGCAAGUGGAGAGCGCCCCCAAUCCCUCCAAAGGAGAGCGGGUAUGCCUUGUCCCUUAUUUAAUAAGAGGGCUCGGAUUUCCAAUUCAUCCAUUUCUCCGGGGGCUCCUGGAGUUCUAUGGCCUCCAGCUGCACAACCUCACGCCUGUCUCCGUAUUGCAUAUUGCGGGCUUCGUAGCCCUUUGCGAGUUGUUUUUGGGUGUUGAGGCUCAUUUCGCGCUGUGGAAGAGGCUAUUCUGCCUUGUGCCCUGUUCUUAGGAGGGGUCAAUAUAUCAAGUGGGCGGAGCCAAAGUGUGGUGUAUCGCCGGGACCGGAUAUCUAUCCGGAACCCCAAAGAAGGCGUCUGAGGACUGGCCUUCAGAAUGGUUUUAUAUAGAGGACGUCCCGUUGCCGGAUCCUGUUCGGAUCGGCCUCCCUGAGUUCAACAGCGCUCCCCUAAAGAAAAACCUAAGCUGGCGCCCACGGAGCCCUCAGAGAGAAAGUGACAAGGACAUUCUUUACCUGAUGGGCCGGAUAAGAUUAUUAGCUCAUUCCGGACUAACCAUGAUCGGAGUCAUGGCUGCAUGCAUCAUGCGAGGGGUGCAACCGCUUCAGUACAGAGGCCACCCCAUGUGGGACUUCAACGGGGAGGAUGAUGCCACCCGUCACGGCCGUAAGGGGCCGGACUCGGCUACCGCUCUAGUAAAGAUCUUGUCCGCUUUGUACAAGGGAGAAGAGGAGGAAUUUCUCCGCGUCAACCCACAGGGUGGAUUUACCAUGUACAAUCCCCCAAGUUGGGUAAGUGGGCAAUUUUACUUGCACGUCUGUUUUGUAUUCCCAUCAUUAAAUAUAUAGUCUAACGACUUCAACGCAGGAACUGCGCCUGGAAGUAAAGGACAUAAAUAGCCCGCCUCCACAGCCCGAGGACCCAGAGUUGUCCCUCGAUCCGGCCUCCGAAGAGGAUCCGGACUUAUCCAUGGAGUUAAUUGAUGGGGUGUUUUAUCAAUUGAGCAAGGACAAUGCCUUGGUGGCCAUUAAGGCCGAUUACCCGGGGCUGCUCCCGGCCUCCCAGGUAACUGAGACCGAAGUCCUAGCACCUCAAAAAGGGAUCCGCCCUCGCGUGUUUUUCAGUUUCCUGACAACAACCGUGUUUUGCAGGGGAGGUUCUUGAGACGGGAGGCCGAGCCUGCGGCGACUAGCCAACGAGGGGCUACAGGGCCCCGUGGGAUGAAAAGAAGUGCAGUCCGGAUUGAGGCGCCGGCGCAGAGGUAUAGCACGCCUUCUUAUUCCCAGGUGUUAUUCCUUCAAGGCAUAUUAACACUCGUGCUCUUUUCAGGACAAAAAGACCCCGCCGGACUAUAUCUGGAGAGGCUGCCAAUCGCGCCUCCACCAGCCAGGCUCCAAAGCCUGGUCCGGAGACGGAGGCGAACACGAGGCGCGCACCGGACGCUCCUCCAACAGAGGAUGCGGACAGGCUGUCCGCCACUAAUUCCGAGGUGGAGAGUGCCAUGAACCACAGGCGUCGCCGGACAGUUCUUCGCGACGCUUGUUUCUCCCAAGAGGCAUUGGACGCCUUCAAUUCGGGAGAUGCGUACCUCCGUGCCGCUCAAAAUGGUCUAGCCAGAGCCACGGAGCAAUAUGUAAAAGACAUACAGGUGAGAAAAUUUAAUGGUUAUAUAUAUCAGUAGCCCCCGAGACUUGAAACAGUUAGAAGAACUGAUUUAAGGAUCAUUCAUAAUGCAGGUUCUUGCGGAAAAGAAUACCCAACUGUCCCAGGAGCUAGAAGAGUGCAAAGCCCAACUUGAGGCCGCACUAGCCGCGACAGGGGAGCCCAAGGAGACCCCCUCUGGUAAUAUGUGCUUCAAAAAGAGAAGUAUUUUGUGAAGUGCGGCGUUUGUGCAAAUCUGACAAAUGAAAUUGCAGAUGGCGCCGGAUUAGAUCCGGAAAAGCAACAACUCCUACGCCAGCUAAAGGCUGGUGAGAGCGUGCUGACAAAGGUGAGGUGGGAGAAGAACGAUCUCCAAUAUGCCAACACCAAGCUGGGCGUUGAACUGAAAGAUGUUUGUGCCCAGCUGUCGGACUCCGCUAAGGAGAAUCAGCGGCUUCGACGCGGCAUAUUUAGUAAGUGCUUAAACGAACUUUGAAUAAAGAGUUCGACGAGGAAGUCGACUAACGGAGUAAUGUCUGUAGGUAUGCUAACAGGUCGUCCUGCAGAGGAGAUGCCCGGUUCUAUGGGUGACCUUCUUCCCGAGCUCUUGCAACUGCACGAGCGAGUUCGGCAGGUGAUGCAGGGCGUCGCCCAGGCCUUGUGGCCAUCCAUCUCCAUGCCCGAAGGACUUGGAGAGCUUGCAGAGAAGCUGAAGGGAGCGCGGCGGCGCUUCUGAUUGUGGAAGAUAUCGGCCUGCGUCAAGGCGCUAGGGAGGCAUGGGCCAUGGUGAAGACGCGGUACACGAAGGCUGACCCAAACCACAUGGCCGAGGUCGGACCUGUGGGGCCCGAUGGGAAGGAGAUCCCUGUAAGCUUCGUAUACGGCUAAGUAGAAUUGGCCGCAAAGUAUUCCCAGCAGGACUGUAAGCUAGACAGCCUGUUAGAUGGUAUUGAAGAGGAAUACAAUCAGUCAUAAUGACUAUGUAAUUUUAAUUGACAUGUGUAAUGCCUUCUAGCCAGAUUGUAGAUCAUUUUUCAUGGCCGACCUUUUUGCUUCGACCUCGGGACCUGCGGUCUGGAGUGUGUCCGAAUACCCUUGCGGUUAUAUAAGAACCGGGGUAUGCAUGGAGACUAGGCGUAGGGGUCAUUAGUGCUUGAACAGACAAGUGCCCGACUAGUUAUGUUAUAUUACAUGGUUAGUAAGAAACAUCUUCCAGGGAGAAUAGUUCCGUUAGGGGUUCCUUUCCCUGGGAGGCAUGCCCUAAAGUGCAUGUCCAUUCUGCGAAAAAGAGACGCAGGAAAAAACAUCUGGGGGCGCAUAGAUAAAUAAGUGAAAAAAUCAUCUUUAGUUCACCGACCGAAUAUUUCCUUAAGAACGCUAGCUUUCGGCUUCACCCAGUCUGAGGUACACAUCGGGCUGACCCGGCAGUAACAAUCGCAGAGGUGCUCCCUUUACCACCUAGCCGAACAAUCGGGAACAUAGGGGUAAGCACAGGAGCCAGGCAACCCAGCUUGGCCAAAAAUUAAGUCAUAUCGAUGCAUAUGAUGGUGAAUAAAAGGUACAUGCGGAAGUGUGACACAUGUGUUGGGCAUGAAGCCCGUAUAAGCUUCUGUUCAAAGAAGCCCCCAGGUUUAGUGAGCGUGGAUAGCGCGUCACUUGAUGAGCCUUUAAAGGCUAUAAGAGAAAGGAGGGGGAGAAGGAGAAAAUGGAAGACAGAAAAUAUAAAAAAUGGACAGAGGAAGGAGACGAACAUAGAGUCCGGCGCUAGGCAUAGAAUCUUCGGAGACGGGCUGCGUUCCAUGGGUUCGGUUCGAGUCGGUUAUCCGAUGCAUCUCGCAGGCGGUAUGCUCCACCAGUCAGGACUUGGUCAAUUAUGAAGGGACCUUCCCACUUGGGCUGGAGUUUGUCCUUUUUCUUGUCCGGCAGGCGUAGAACUAGUUCGCCAACAUUGUAAUUUUUGGCCCGUACUUCUCUGCUUUGAUAUCUUCGAGCCUGCUGUUGAUAGAAUGCGGAACGGGCUUUUGCCACGUCACGCUCCUCCUCCAAGGCAUCUAAACUGUCCUGCCGAUCGAGCUCGGCUUCUCUUUCUUCGUACAUGCGCACUCAAGGUGAGUCAUGAAUUAUAUCGCAGGGCAAAACUGCUUCUGCACCGUACACCAUGAAGAAUGGUGUGUAUCCGGUGGUGCGAUUCGACGUGGUCCGCAGCCCCCAGAGUACGGAGUCGAGCUCCUCUACCCAGUGCGUGUUAGAUUCCUUAAGGUACCGCACUAAUCUGGGUUUGAUGCCGCUCAUGAUAAGACCAUUUGCGUGUUCGACCUGUCCGUUAGUUUGUGGGUGAUAGACGGAAGCAUAAUCGAGCUUGAUGCCCAUGUUUUUGCACCAGAGUUUUACCUCAUCGACCGUAAAGUUCGUACCGUUAUCAGUGAUGAUGCUGUGGGGGACGCCGUAACGGUGUACGACCCCCGAUAUAAAGUCUAUCACCGGUCCGGAUUCGGCCGUCUUAAUAGGCUUGGCCUCUAUCCAUUUGGUGAACUUAUCCACCAUGACCAGUAAGUAUUUUUUCUUCUGGGUUCCGCCUUUAAGGGGUCCAACCAUGUCAAGCCCCCAGACCGCGAAGGGCCAAGUGAUGGGGAUAGUUUGGAGGGCGGUGGGUGGCAUAUGGCUUUGGUUUGGCAAAAGCUGGCAACCGACGCAUCGUUGGACUAAGUCCUGAGCGUCUGCCCGGGCCGUUGGCCAAUAAAAGCCUGUACGGAAAGUCUUGCUUACGAGGGACCGAGUUGCGGUGUGAUGACCAUCGAGUCCGGCAUGAAUUUCAGCCAGCAAGUUCCGCCCAUCCUCCUCGGAGAUGCACCUUUGAAGGACUCCGGUAGUGCUUUUCUUAUAAAGCUCUCCCUCAUGGACUUUAUAGGCUUUAGAUCGCCGCACUAUGCAGCGUGCCUCAUUUUGGUCUUCUGGGAGUUCCUGCCUAGUAAGGUAGGCUAGGAAUGGUUCUGUCCACGGGGCGAUGACCGCCAUUAUUACGUGGGCUGAAGAUGUGACUUCAUUGGCAGAAUCUCCAAUUAUGUCAGUGUUGGGUAACGUAGCAGAAAUUCAAAAUUUUCCUACGUGUCACCAAGAUCUAUCUAUGGAGAAACCAGCAACGAGGGGAAGGAGAGUGCAUCUACAUACCCUUGUAGAUCGCUAAGCGGAAGCGUUCAAGAGAACGGGGUUGAAGGAGUCGUACUCGUCGUGAUCCAAAUCACCGAUGAUCCUAGUGCCGAACGGACGGCACCUCCGCGUUCAACACACGUACAGCCCGGUGACGUAUCCCACGCCUUGAUCCAGCAAGGAGAGAGGGAGAGGUUGAGGAAGACUCCAUCCAGCAGCAGCACAACGGCGUGGUGGUGGUGGAGGAGCGUGGCAAUCCUGCAGGGCUUCGCCAAGCACCACGGGAGAGGAGGAAGGAGAGAUGCAGGGCUGCGUCAUAUAGAAGAGAGGAACUCGCGUCUUAUGAGCAGCCCAAACCUCAACUAUAUAUAGGGGAAGGGGAGAGGCUGCGGCCCCUUUAGGGUUUCCACCCCUAGGGGUGGCGGCCAGCCUAGAUCCCAUCUAAGGGAGGCGGCCAAGGGGGAGGGGGAGAGGGAGGCGCACCAGGAUGGGCCUUAGGGCCCAUCUGCCCUAGGGUUUGCCCCCUUCUCCUCUCCCUUGCACCUUGGGCCCUUGUGGGGGGGGGGGCGCACCAGCCCACCUGGGGCUGGUCCCCUUCCACACUUGGCCCAUGAAGCCCUCCGGGGCUGGUUUGCCCCACUUGGUGGACCCCCGGGACCCUCCCGGUGGUCCCGGUACGUCACCGAUAAACCCCGAAACUUUUCCGGUGACCAAAACAGGACUUCCCAUAUAUAAAUGUUUACCUCCGGACCAUUCCAGAACUCCUCGUGACGUCCGAGAUCUCAUCCGGGACUCCGAACAACAUUCGGUAACCACAUACAAACUUCCUUUAUAACCCCAGCGUCAUCGAACCUUAAGUGUGUAGACCCUACGGGUUUGGGAGACAUGCAGACAUGACCGAGACGUUCUCUGGUCAAUAACCAAUAGCGGGAUCUGGAUACCCAUGUUGGCUCCCACAUGUUCCACGAUGAUCUCAUCGGAUGAACCACGAUGUCAAGGACUUAAUCAAUCCCGUAUACAAUUCCCUUUGUCUAUCGGUACGAUACUCGCCCGAGAUUCGAUCGUCGGUAUCCCGAUACCUUGUUCAAUCUCAUUACCGGCAAGUCUCUUUACUCGUUCCGUAACACAUCAUCCCGUGAUCAACUCCUUGAUCACAUUGUGCACAUUAUGAUGAUGUCCUACCGAGUGGGCCCAGGGAUACCUCUCCGUCACACGGAGUGAUAAAUCCCAGUCUCGAUUCGUGCCAACCCAACAGACACUUUCAGAGAUACCCGUAGUGUACCUUUAUAGCCACCCAGUUACCUUGUGACGUUUGGCACACCCAAAGCACUCCUACGGUAACCGGGAGUUGCACAAUCUCAUGGUCUAAGGAAAUGAUACUUGACAUUAGAAAAGCUUUAGCAUACGAACUACACGAUCUAGUGCUAUGCUUAGGAUUGGGUCUUGUCCAUCACAUCAUUUUCCUAAUGAUGUGAUCCCGUUAUCAACGACAUCCAAUGUCCAUGGUCAGGAAACCGUAACCAUCUAUUGAUCAACGAGCUAGUCAACUAGAGGCUUACUAGGGACAUGGUGUUGUCUAUGUAUCCACACAUGUAUCUGAGUUUCCUAUCAAUAUAAUUCUAGCAUGGAUAAUAAACGAUUAUCAUGAACAAGGAAAUAUAAUAAUAAUCAAUUUAUUAUUUCCUCUAGGGCAUAUUUCCAACAGUCUCCCACUUGCACUAGAGUCAAUAAUCCAGUUCACAUCGUUAUGUGACUAACACUCAAGGUCACAUCCCCAUGUGACUAACACCCAAAGAGUUUACUAGAGUCAAUAAUCUAGUUCACAUUUACCAUGUGAUUAACACUCGAUGAGUUCUGGGUUUGAUCAUGUUAUGCUUGUGAGAGAGGUUAUAGUCAACGGGUCUGAACCUUUCAGAUCCGUGUGUGCUUUACAAAUCUCUAUGUCAUCUCCUAGAUGCAGCUACCACGCUCUAUUUGGAGCUAUUCCAAAUAACUGUUCUACUAUACGAAUCCAGUUUACUACUCAGAAUAAUCUGGAUUAGUGUCAAAGUUUGCAUCGGCGUAACCCUUUACGACGAACUCUUUUACCACCUCCAUAAUCGAGAAAAUUCCUUAGUCCACUAGUUACUAAGGAUAACUUUGAUCGCUGUCCUGUGAUCCAUUCUUGGAUCACUCUUGUACCCCUUGACUGACUCAUGGCAAGGCACACUUCAGGUGCGGUACAUAGCAUAGCAUACUGUAGAGCCUAUGUCUUAAGCAUAGGGGACGACCUUCGUUCUUUCUCUCUAUUCUGCCGUGGUCAAGCUUUAAGUCUUAACUUCAUACCUUACAACUCAGGCAAGAACUCCUUCUUUGACUGAUCCAUCUUGAACACCUUCAAGAUCAUGUCAAGGAAUGUGCUCAUUUGAAAGUACCAUUAAGUGUUUUGAUCUAUCCUUAUAGAUCUUGAUGCUCAAUGUUCAAAUAGCUUAAUCCAGGCUUUCCAUUGAAAAAACACUUUCCAAAUAACCCUAUAUGCUUUCCAGAAAUUCUACGUCAUUUCUGAUCAACAAUAUGUCAACAACAUAUAUUCAUCAGAAAUUCUAUAGUGCUCCCACUCACUUCUUUGGAAAUACAAGUUUCUCAUAAACUUCGUAUUCACCCAAAAUCUUUGAUCAUCUCAUCAAAGCAUACAUUCCAACUCGAGAUGCUUACUCCAGUACUUAGAAGGAUUGCUGGAGCUUUGCAUACUUAUUAGCAUAUUUCAGGAUUGACAAAACCUUCCGGUUGUAUCACAUACAACCUUUCCUCAAAAAUCAUCGAGGAAACAAUGUUUUGACAUCCUAUCUGCAAGAUUUCAUAAAUGAUGCAGUAAUUGCUAAUAUAAUUCCAACAGACUCUUAGCAUCGCUACGAGUGAGAAAGUCUCAUCGUAGUCAACUCCUUGAACUUGUCGGAAAACAUCUUAAUGACAAGUCGAGCUUUCUUAAUGGUGAUACUUACCAUCAUUGUCCGUCUUCCUUUUAAAAUCCAUAUGUACCUAACAGCCUUACGACCAUCAAGUUGUUCUUCCAAAGUCUACACUUUGUUUUCACAUAUGGAUCCUCUCUCGGAUUAUAUGGCCUUGAGCCAUUUUGGAAUCCAGGCCCACCAUUGCUCCUCCAUAGCUCGUAGGUUCAUUGUUGUCUAGCAACAUGACUUCCAAGACAGGAUUACGUACCAUUCUAAAGCAGUACACAUCCUUGUCAUCCCACGAGGUUUGGUAGUGACUUGAUCUGAAGUUUCAUGAUCACUAUCAUAAGCUUCCACUUCAAUUGGUGUAGGUGCCACAGGAACAACUCCCUGUGCCCUGCCACACACUAGUUGAAGAGAUGGUUCAAUAACCUCAUCAAGUCUCCACCAUCCUCCCACUCAAUUCUUUCGAGAGAAACUUUUCCUCGAGAAAGGACCCGAUUCUAGUAACAAUCCCUUAUUGCUUUCGAAUCUGAGACAGGAGGUAUACCCAACUGUUUUGGGUGUCCUAUGAAGAUGUAUUUAUCCGCUUUGGGUUCGAGCUUAUCGACCUGAAACUUUUUCACAUAAGCGUCGCAGCCCCAAACUUUUAAGAAAUGACAGCUUAGGUUUCUCUAAACCAUAGUUCAUACGGUGUCAUCUCAUCGGAAUUACGUGGUGCCCUAUUUAAAGUGAAUGUGGUUGUCUCUAAUGCCUAACCCAUAAACUAUUGUGGUAAUUCGAUAAGAGACAUCAUGGUAUGCAUCAUAUCCAAUAGGGUGCAGUUAUGAUGUUCGGACACACCAUCACACUAUGGUGUUCCAGGCUGUAUCAGUUGUGAAACAAUUUCCACAAUGUCUUAAUUCUGUGCCAAACUCGUAAUUCAGAUAUUCAUCUCUAUGAUCAUAUCAUAGAUAUUUUAUCCUCUUGUCACGAUGAUCUUUCAACUUCACCCUGAAAUUACUUGAACCUUUCAAUAAUUCAAACUCAUGAUUCAUCAAGUAAAUAUACUCAACAUCUACUCAAAUCAUCUGUGAAGUAAGAACAUAACGAUAUCCACUACAUUCCUCAGCACUCAUUGGACUGCACACAUCAAAAUGUAUUACUUCCAACAAGUUGCUUUCUAGUUCCAUUUUACUGAAACCGAGGCUUUCAGUCAUCUUGCCCAUGUGGUAUGAUUUGCAUGUCUCAAGUGAUUCAAAAUCAAGUGAGUCCAAAUGGUCCAUUUGCAUGGAGUUUCUUCAUGCAUAUACACCAAUAGACAUGGUUCGCAUGUCUCAAACUUUUCAAAAAUGAGUGAGCCCAAAGAUCCAUCAACAUGGAGCUUCUUCAUGCGUUUUAUACUGAUAUGACUUACGUGGCAGUGCCACAAGUAGGUGGUACUAUCAUUACUAUCUUAUAUCUUUUGGCAUGAACAUGUGUAUCACUACGAUCAAGAUUCAAUAAACCAUUCAUUUUAGGUGCAAGACCAUUGAAGGUAUUAUUCAAAUGAACAGAGUAACCAUUAUUCUCCUUAAAUGAAUAGCCGUAUCGCGAUAGACAUAAUCCAAUCAUGUCUAUGCUCAACGCAAACACCAAAUAACAAUUAUUUAGGUUUAACACCAAUCUCGAUGGUAGAGGGAGCGUGCGAUGCUUGAUCAUAUCAACAUUGGAAACACUUCCAACACAUAUCGUCAGCUCACCUUUAGCUAGUCUCCGUUUAUUCCGUAGCUUUUAUUUCAAGUUACUAACACUUAGCAACCGAACCGGUAUCUAAUACCCUGGUGCUACUAGGAGUACCAGUAAAGUACACAUUAACACAAUGUAUAUCCAAUAUACUUCUAUCGACCUUGCCAGCCUUCUCUUCUACCAAGUAUCUAGGGUAAUUCUGCUCCAGUGGCUGUUCCCCUUAUUACAGAAGCACUUAAUUAGUCUCGGGUUUGGGUUCAACCUUGGGUUUCUUCACUAGAGCAGCAGCUAAUUUGCCGUUUCAUGAAGUAUCCCUUCUUGCCCUUGCCCUUCUUGAAACUAGUGGUUUCACCAACCAUCAACAAUUGAUGCUCCUUCUUGAUUUCUACUUUUGUGGUGUCAAACAUCGCGAAUAUCUCAAGGAUCAUCAUAUAUGUCCCUGAUAUAUUAUAGUUCAUCACGAAGCUCUAGCAGCUUGGUGGUAAUGACUUCGGAGAAACAUCACUUUCUCAUCUGGAAGAUCAACUCCCACUCGAUUCAAAUGAUUGUUGUACUCAGACAAUCUGAGCACAAGCUCAACAAUUGAGCUUUUCUCCCUUAGUUUGCAGGCUAAGAAAAUUGUCGGAGGUCUUAUACCUCUUGACAUGGGCACGAGCCUGAAAUCCAAAUUUCAGCCCUCGAAACAUCUCAUAUGUUUUGCGACGUUUCAAAACGUCUUUGGUGCCUCAACUCUAAACCGUUUAACUGAACUAUCACGUAGUUAUGAAAAUGUGUAUGUCAGAUGUUCGCAACAUCCACAGACAACGUUCGAGGUUCAGCACACUGAGCGGUGCAUUAAGGACAUAAGCCUUCUAUGAAGCAAUGAGGACAAUCCUCAGUUUACGGACCUAGUCCGCAUAAUUGCUACUAUCAACUUUCAACUAUUUUUUUUUCUCUAGGAACAUAUCUAAACAGUAGAACUAAAGCGCGAGCUACGACAUAAUUUGCAAAAUCCUUUUGACUAUGUUCAGGAUAAACAAGUUCAUCUUAUGAACUUCCACUCAGAUAGAUAUCCCUCUAGUCAUCUAAGUGAUUACAUGAUCCGAGUCAACUAGGCCGUGUUCGAUCAUCACGUGAGACGGACUAGUCAUCAUCGGUGAACAUCUUCAUGUUGAUCGUAUCUACCAUACGACUCAUGCUCGACCUUUCGGUCUCUUGUGUUCCGAGGCCAUGUCUGUACAUGCUAGGCUCAUCAAGUCAACCUAAGUGUUUCGCGUGUGUAAAUCUGUCUUACACCCGUUGUAUGUGAACGUUAGAAUCUAUCACGCCCGAUCAUCACGUGGUGCUUCGAAACGACGAACUUUCGCAACGGUGCAUAGUUAGGGGGAACACUUUCUUGAAAUUUUAAUGAGGGAUCAUCUUAUUUACUACUGUCGUUCUAAGCAAAUAAGAUGUAUAAACAUGAUAAACAUCACAUGCAAUCAAAUAGUGAUAUGAUAUGGCCAAUAUCAUAGUGCUCCUUUUGAUCUCCAUCUUCGGGGCUCCAUGAUCAUCAUCACCGGCAUGACACCAUGAUCUCCAUCAUCAUGAUCUCCAUCAUCGUGUCUUCAUGAAGUUGUCUCGCCAACUAUUACUUCUACUACUACAGCUAACUGUUAGCAAUAAAGUGAAGUAAUUACAUGGCGUUGUUUAAUGACACGCAGGUCAUAUAAUAAAUUAAGACAACUCCUAUGGCUCCUGCCGGUUGUCAUACUCAUCGACAUGCAAGUCGUGAUUCCUAUUACAAGAACAUGAUCAAUCUCAUACAUCACAUAUCAUUCAUCACAUUCUUCUUGGCCAUAUCACAUCACAUAGCAUACCCUGCAAAAACAAGUUAGACGUCCUCUAAUUGUUGUUUGCAUGUUUUACGUGGCUGCUAUGGGUUUCUAGCAAGAACGUUUCUUACCUACGCAAAACCACAACGUGAUAUGCCAAUUGCUAUUUACCCUUCAUAAGGACCCUUUUCAUCGAAUCCGAUCCGUCUAAAGUGGGAGAGACAAACACCCGCCAGCCACCUUAUGCAACUAGUGCAUGUUUGUCGAUGGAACCGGUCUCACGUAAGCGUAUGUGUAAGGUUGGUCCGGGCCGCUUCAUCCCACAAUGCCGCCGAAUCAAGAUUGGACUAGUAACGGUAAGCAUAUUGAACAAAAUCAACGCCCACAACUACUUUGUGUUCUACUCGUGCAUAGAAUCUACGCAAUAGACCUAGCUCAUGAUGCCACUGUUGGGUAACGUAGCAGAAAUUCAAAAUUUUCCUAUGUGUCACCAAGAUCUAUCUAUGGAGAAACCAGCAACGAGGGGAAGGAGAGUGCAUCUACAUACCCUUGUAGAUCGCUAAGCAGAAGCGUUCAAGAGAACGUGGUUGAAGGAGUCGUACUCGUCAUGAUCCAAAUCACCGAUGAUCCUAGUGCCGAACGGAUGACACCUCUGCGUUCAACACACGUACAGCCCGGUGACGUAUCCCACGCCUUGAUCCAGCAAGGAGAGAGGGAGAGGUUGAGGAAGACUCCAUCCAGCAGCAGCACAACGGCGUGGUGGUGGUGGAGGAGCGUGGCAAUCCUGCAGGGCUUCGCCAAGCACCACGGGAGAGGAGGAAGGAGAGAUGCAGGGCUGCGUCAUAUAGAGGAGAGGAACUCGCGUCUUAUGAGCAGCCCAAACCUCAACUAUAUAUAGGGGAAGGGGAGGGGCUGCGACCCCUUUAGGGUUUCCACCCCUAGGGGUGGCGGCCAGCCUAGAUCCCAUCUAAGGGAGGCGGCCAAGGGGGAGGGGGAGAGGGAGGCGCACCAGGAUGGGCCUUAGGGCCCAUCUGCCCUAGGGUUUGCCCCCUUCUCCUCUCCCUUGCGCCUUGGGCCCUUGUGGGGGGGGGCGCACCAGCCCACCUGGGGCUGGUCCCCUUCCACACUUGGCCCAUGAAGCCCUCCGGGGCUGGUGGCCCCACUUGGUGGACCCCCGGGACCCUCCCGGUGGUCCCGGUACGUUACCGAUAAACCCCAAAACUUUUCCGGUGACCAAAAUAGGACUUCCCAUAUAUAAAUCUUUACCUCCGGACCAUUCCGGAACUCCUCGUGACGUUCGGGAUCUCAUUCGGGACUCCGAACAACAUUCGGUAACCACAUACAAACUUCCUUUAUAACCCCAGAGUCAUCGAACCUUAAGUGUGUAGACCCUACGGGUUCGGGAGACAUGCAGGCAUGACCGAGACGUUCUCCGGUCAAUAACCAACAGCGGGAUCUGGAUACCCAUGUUGGCUCCCACAUGUUCCACGAUGAUCUCAUCGGAUGAACCACGAUGUCAAGGACUUAAUCAAUCCCGUAUACAAUUCCCUUUGUCUAUCGGUAUGAUACUCGCCCGAGAUUCGAUCGUCGGUAUCCCGAUACCUUGUUCAAUCUCGUUACCGGCAAGUAUCUUUACUCGUUCCAUAACACAUCAUCCCGUGAUCAACUCCUUGAUCACAUUGUGCACAUUAUGAUGAUGUCCUACCGAGUGGGCCCAGAGAUACCUCUCCGUCACACGGAGUGACAAAUCCCAGUCUCGAUUCGUGCCAACCCAACAGACACUUUCGGAGAUACCCGUAGUGUACCUUUAUAGCCACCCAGUUACGUUGUGACGUUUGGCACACCCAAAGCACUCCUACGGUAACCGGGAGUUGCACAAUCUCAUGGUCUAAGGAAAUAUUGACAUUAGAAAAGCUUUAGCAUACGAACUACAUGAUCUAGUGCUAUGCUUAGGAUUGGAUCUUGUCCAUCACAUCAUUCUCCUAAUGAUGUGAUCCCGUUAUCAACGACAUCCAAUGUCCAUGGUCAGGAAACCGUAACCAUCUAUUGAUCAACGAGCUAGUCAACUAGAGGCUUACUAGGGACAUGGUGUUGUCUAUGUAUCCACACAUGUAUCUGAGUUUCCUAUCAAUACAAUUCUAGCAUGGAUAAUAAACGAUUAUCAUGAACAAGGAAAUAUAAUAAUAAUCAAUUUAUUAUUGCCUCUAGGGCAUAUUUCCAACAGUCAGAUUGUUCGGUGUUGGGCAGUGCGGUUGAGUCCGGGCUGUUAUUGCCGGGUUCCCCUUCCCAUACUACGGACGGCUUGAAUAGCCUUUCCAAGAAGAUGUUGGGAGGGACUGCAUCGCGUUUUGCGCCGAUGCGUGCCAGGACAUCCGCCGCCUGAUUAUUUUCCCGGGCUAUAUGGUGAAAUUCGAGCCCUUCGAACUGAGCUGACAUUUUUAAGACGAUGUUGCGAUAAGCUGCCAUUUUUGGAUCCUUGGCAUCGAAGUCUCUGUUUAUUUGGGACAUUGCGAGGUUCAAAUCCCCUCGCACUUCUAGGCGUUGAAUACCCAUGGAUACUGCCAUCCAGAGACCAUGUAAGAGGGCCUCGUAUUCGGCUGCAUUGUUGGAGUCUGUGUACAUAAUCUGGAGUACAUAUUGAACUGUGUCUCCUGUGGGGGACGUCAAAACGACGCCAGCCCCCAGACCGGCCAACAUUUUGGAGCCGUCGAAAUGCAUGAUCUAGUUUUAAUAUGUGCCGUACUCUUCAGGGAGUUCGGCCUCCGUCCAUUCUGUGACGAAGUCAGCCAAAACUUGCGACUUGAUAGCUCGCCGUGGCUUAUAAGUUAUGUCGAACGGGAGGAGCUCGAUGGCCCAUUUCGCAAUCCGGCCCGUUGCGUUGCGGUUCUUUAUAAUAUCGUUUAGUGGUACUUCUGAGGCUACUAUUAUUGAACACUCUUGAAAGUAGUGUCGCAGCUUCCGGGAUGCCAUGAAUACCGCGUACGCAAUCUUUUGAUAAUGUGGGUACCUUGAUUUGCACGGAGUGAGGACAGUGGACACAUAAUAGACCGGCUUCUGAAGGGGGAAUUUGUGUCCGUCGUUUCUCGUUCGACGACGAGCACUGCGCUCAGAACCUGAUGGGUUGCUGCAAUGUAUAAUAGCAUUGGUUCGCCAAUGUUUGGCGCGGCCAGGACUGGGUUUGUUGCCAAUAUGGCUUUUAUUUCGUCGAGUCCGGCCGUGGCUGCGUCCGUCCACUCGAAGUGUUCGGUGCGCCUAAGGAGGCGGUAAAGGGGGAGUGCCUUUUCUCCCAAGUGGGAGAUAAAGCGGCUUAGAGCCGCCACACAUCCGGUUUACUUUUGUAUUUGUUUGAGGUCCUUUGGGAUAUUCAAUUGUGACAGAGCUCGGAUCUUGGCUGGAUUUGCUUCAAUUCCUCUACCGAAUACAAUGAAGCCCAAGAGCUUUCCGGCUGGAACGCCGAAAACGCAUUUUUCUGGGUUGAGCUUGAUGUCGUAUGUUCGGAGGUUAUCAAAUGUGAGCCUCAAGUCAUCUACUAGGGAUUCGACAUGUCUUGUUUUUACGACCACAUCAUCUACAUAUGCCUCCACUGUUUUGCUGAUCUGGUUUGCCAGACAUGUCUGAAUCAUGCGCUGAUAUGUUGUUUUGAGCCCGAAGGGCAUUGUGUUGAAGCAGAAUGGGCCGUAUGGUGUGAUCAAUGUCGUUGCGGCUUGGUCUGAUUCUGCCAUCUUGAUUUGAUGGUAGCCGGAAUAUGCGUCGAGCAAGCACAACGAAUCGUGUCCUGCAGUAGCGUCGAUAAUUUGAUCCAUGCGGGGGAGGGGAAAGGGAUCCUUUGGGCAAGCCUUAUUAAGGUCUUUAAAAUCAACGCACAAGUGCCAGGAUUUGUCCUUCUUUGGUACCAUCACUAGGUUUGCUAGCCAGUCCGGAUGUUUUAUAUCUCUGAUGGAUCCGGCCUCUAAUAGCUUGGCUAGCUCCUCUCCCAUGGCCUGUCUCUUAGGUUCGGAAAAACGCCGAAGAGCCUGUUUGACAGGUUUGAAUCCUUUAGGAUAUUUAAGCUGUGUUCGGCCAGCCUGCGUGGGAUUCCUGGCAUGUCUGAAGGGUGCCAGGCGAAAAUGUCCUAGUUCUCACGUAGGAACUCUCGCAGUGCGGCGUCUACAUCAGGGUUUAAUUGUGCACCGAUGGAAGCUGUUUUAUUGGGGUCCGUUGGAUGGACCUGGAAUUUGACUAUUUUGUCCGCUGGUUUAAAUGAGAUGGACUUGGAUCUUUUGUCGAGUAUCACAUCAUCCCUGUUCACCGUGGAGCGCAGCGCAGUCAGCUCCUCAGCCGCUAGGGCUUAGGAUAGUGCCUCAAGGGCCAGUGCGGCUGUCUUAUUUUAGGCGCGGAGUGCUAUGUCCAGAUCACUAGCGAGAGUGAUGAUUCCGUUCGGCCCGGGCAUCUUGAGUUUCAUGUACCCAUAAUGGGGUAUUGCUUGGAAGAUUGUGAACGCUUCCCGCCCUAGCAGAGCGUGGUAUCCGCUACUGAACGGGACCACUUGGAACGUGACCUCCUCGGACCUGUAAUUAUCCGGCGUGCCGAACACCACAUCUAGUGUGAUUUUUCCUGUACAGCACGCUUCCUGACUGGGGAUUAUUCCUCUAAAGGUUGUGCUGCUUCGCUCAAUGCGGUUCCAGUCUAUUUCUAGUUUUUGAAGGGUUUCCUCAUAAAUGAGGUUCAAUCCGCUGCCUCCAUCCAUGAGUACCUUGGUAAGGCGAAAGCCAUCCACUAUUAGACUGAGGACCAAUGUGGCUGGUGCUCGGGCUGUUCGGAAUUUAGGUUCAUCACUGGCAUUAAAAGUAAUAGCCGUGUCACUCCAUGGGUUUAUUGUUGCUACUUGGUAGACUUCGACAAGGCUGCGGAGUGUUCUUUUUCGCAUAUUAUUUGAUGCGAAAGUCUCGAAGACUGUUAAUACCGUACCGGUAUCCCUGGGGUGGCUUUCUAUGGCCUCCGGAAUUAGGAGAUCUUCACCAAUUUUGGCCACCUGCCGGAGUAUCCAACAUGCUCUAAGGCUGUGAGUUGGUGUGGCGCCCUCUGUACUAUGAAUUUUACAGGGUCGAUUAAGCCAUCCUUCCAAUAUGCUUCCAUGCCCUGUAGAGGGUUUUUGCUUUUUGGUGUUUAACCGGGUGUCUGGCGAAGAUGCACCCUUUUAUUUCGGACUGGGUUUGUAUUCAGGGCCGGAUUGUCCCAAAAUUUUAUUUCGGUUUUCCAGGCGCUAUCCAUCGCACAGUACUUUCGUACUAUGGACACCAAGUCAGCGAAGCAUGUAAUAUCACGGCGACUUAUGGCGUUGAGGAUUCCCUUGUCCAUGCAAUUAUUGCAGAAGAAUGAGAUUGCGUCUUCCUCGCGGCAGUCCUUGAUCCUGUUCAUAGCCAGGAGGAAUCUGGCCCAGUAAUGAUGUACUGUUUCUUUGGGUUUUUGCCUAAUUUGGGAUAGAUCGCUUAUGUUCGGGUGGGUGGGUGGAAUUAAAUCCGAAACCUGACCCGAUCUGAGACUCAGAGGCCAAGGAGAUUCCGAACUCGGAAGUUUGGAUUCUUGGAUGUUGUCCAAUGAGUCUAGCCCGUCGCCUGACUCUAAGUUCAGGUCUUGAGUGAUGUCCUCCCCUCCGCGGGUAUCCGACUUGGAGGGAUCGGGAAUCCGGACAUAACUAGUCCUUAAGAUAGAUGAAGGGUCACCGCACUGUCCCUCUACCAUAGCAAUGUGAUGGGUGACCUGGGGAGAGUUAAUCUCUCUUAGAUCGGGUUUAGGCCCAAUCUGGUCAUAAUCCGUGGCAACUCCCAGGGCGGCGACGCGAUCCAAGAGCUCGUUUAUGGAAGAGAGCUCCAUUGUAUCUAACUGCUCGGCGAGUUCCGAGAUGACAUGAAGACUGCUUUUGAUGACCCGAGAGGUCAUCGUCGGCGCAGCAGCCGAACAGGCGGUCAUAAGAAAACCGCCUAGCCGGAGAGUUUGGCCGACAGCCAAAGCUCCCUUAGCAACGGUUCCGUCUUUAAAGACGGGAUGAGGCAUCCUUCCUGAUGGCGACGGCACAGAGGAACUCUCAAUGUAAGCACCAAUAUCGGUGUCAAAACCGGCGGAUCUCGGGUAGGGGGUCCCGAACUGUGCGUCUAGGCGGAUGGUAACAGGACACAAGGGACACGAUGUUUACCCAGGUUCGGGCCCUCUCGAUGGAGGUAAAACCCUACUCCUGCUUGAUUAAUAUUGAUGAUAUGGGUAGUACAAGAGUAGAUAUACCACGAGAUCAAGGAGGCUAAACCCUAGAAGCUAGCCUAUGGUAUGAUUGUUGUUGUCCUACGGACUAAAACCCUUCGGUUUAUAUAGACACCGGAGAGGGUUAGGGUUACACAGAGUCGGUUACAAUGGUAGGAUAUCUACAUAUCCGUAUCGCCAAGCUUGCCUUCCACGCCAAGGAAAGUCCCUUCCGGACAUGGGACGAAGUCUUCAAUCUUGUAUCUUCAUAGUCCGGGAGUCCGGCUGAAGGUAUAGUCCGGCUAUCCAGACACCCCCUAAUCCAGGACUCCCUCACCCAGGUUUUCAGCCAAGAUUAUAACUAACCAUGUCGACAAUAACUCUUAAACAUUAUAGUAACUCUUAUGAGUAGAGGCCGCGGGAAAAAGCCUAGUAGUAGCGCGGAUAAAAGACUAGUAGUAGUGCGGGUGCCCGUGCUACUACUAUGGCGCUACAGCUAACUCGUAGUAGUAGCGCAGGUGCCACCCGUGCUACUAGUACGUGUGUUAGUAAUAGCGCGGAUUCUACACACGCUACUACUAACUAUGUGUAGCGCCUGUCUGUGACCCGCGCUACUACUAUUAAUUUCAAAAACCAAAAAAAAAUCUCGACCCCGUGCAUGUUGUCAAUGGUGUCAUCCAGCGACGACAGGGGUUGCCGGAGGUGUGGACGGGUAGUGGCAGACCAGAUCCGGCGAUGGCUGUUGGAGAUGGCCGGAUCCAGUGUAGAGCAAGACGACGGUGUGAGGAUCCUCUUCGCGGUCAAGGCGGAGAACUCCUGGUUGGCCAUGUCGACGACCUGUGCAGGCAUGGGCAUGGGAGGUGAGUAAAACCAAAGGGAGAGGGAGAGGAGAGGGAGAGGGAAAAAGAGAAACAAGGGAGAAAGGAAGGAGAUGGAGGGCGUAUCGGGGCUGCAUGGAGGCGAGGAGGAAGACGGGCGAGCUCUUGGACGCCAGCGAUGCGAGGAGGAAGACGUUGGGUGCCAUGGAGGAGGAGAUGUUCUUGGGCAGGAGCACCAUGGAGAGAGGGGGAAAGUGAGGGAGAGAGGAGGAAAGUGAGAGAGGGGGAAAGUGAGGGAGAGAGGAGGGAUUCGGCCGAGGAUAUGGAGAUUUCAUCUACCUCGUACUUAGUAGUAGCGAGGGGUAUAAAACCGCACUACUACUAUCAACAUAGUAGUAGCAUGGGUUUGUACCCCUCGCUACUACUAUGGCAUGUCCCGGGAGGGCAUGGUAGACACCGCUUAGUAGUAUCGAGGGUGAAAAACCCGCGCUAAUAGUAUCAACUUAGUAGUAGCGAGGGGUAAAAACCCACGCUACUAGUAAGUAGCAGUAGCGACGGUUAUAAACCCGCGCUACUAGUAAGCGUCUGCCUAUAAGCUUUUCCCUAGUAGUGGCAUAUCUAUGACAUAAUCAACUAGCGAGCAAUAAUAAGAUAUCUCAAACAACAACACGUUGUGAAAACAACCAUGAUAUAAUAUGACAAUAGUGGUAUCUCGCUAGCCCUUUCUAAGACCGCAAAACAUAAAUGCAGAGCACCUCCAAAGUUCAAGCAGCGACUAAACAUUGUAAUUCAUGGUAGAAAAGAUCUAGUCUUGAUGCACCCAACAUUAGCAACACAUAGUGCAUCAGCAUGACAACAGUGCUCUUUGGAUUUGGCACUUAUUUUAGAAGGUGAUGACACAACAUAAAAGUAAAUAGAUAGUCCCUUCGCAGAGGGAAGCAGUGAUUUGCAGCUGUGCCAGAGCUCAAAAUUUUAAAACAGAGGUAAAUGAAAUUUUGGGAAAUUGAUACGUAUCCAAUGUAUCUAUAAUUUUUUAUUGUUCCAUGCUAUAUUAUAUUAUGUUUUGGAUGUUUAAUAGGCUUAUUUAUACACUUUUAUAUUAUUUUUGGGACUAACCUAUUAACCGGAGGCCCAGCACAAAUUGCUGUUUUUGUUCCUACUUCAGUGUUUCGCAAAAAAAAGAAUAUCAAAUGGAGUGCAAACGGAAUGAAACCUUCGGGAACAUGAUUUUUGAAACAAAUGUGAUCCAGAGGACUUGGAGUCCAUGUCAAGCAGUCAACGAGGAGGGCACGAGGCAGGGGGCGCUCCUACCUCCCCCUAGGCGCGCCCUCCACCCUCAUGGGGCCCACGUUGCUCCACCGGCGUACUUCUUCCUCCUAUAUAUACCUACGUACCCCCAAACCAUCAGGGGCAUCCACGAAAACCUAAUUCCACCGCCGCAACCUUCUGUACACGUGAGAUCCCAUCUUGGGGCCUUUUCCGGCAUCCUGCCGGAGGGGGCAUUGAUCACGGAGGGCUUCUACAUCAACACCAUAGCCACUCCGAUGAUGUGUGAGUAGUUUACCUUAGACUUUUGGGUCCAUAGUUAUUAGCUAGAUGGCUUCUUCUCUCUCUUUGGAUCUCAAUACAAAGUUCUCCACGAUUCUCGUGGAGAUCUAUUCGAUGUAAUCUUCUUUUGCGGUGUGUUUGUCGGGACCGAUGAAUUAUGGAUUUAUGAUCAAGUUUAUCUAUGAACAAUAUUUGAAUAUCCUCUGAAUUCUUUUAUGUAUGAUUGGUUAUCUUUGCAAGUCUCUUCGAAUUAUCAGUUUGGUUUGGCCUACUAGAUUGAUCUUUCUUGCAACGGGAGAAGUGCCUAGCUUUGAGUUCAAUCUUGUGGUGUCGUUUCCCAGUGACAGCAGGGGCAGCAAGGCACGUAUUGUAUUGUUGCCAUCGAGGAUAACAAGAUGGGGUUUAUAUCAUAUUGCAUGAGUUUAUCUCUCUACAUCAUGUCAUCUUGCUUAAAGCGUUACUCUGUUCUUAUGAACUUAAUACUCUAGAUGCAUGUUGGAUAGCGAUCGAUGUGUGGAGUAAUAGUAGUAGAUGCAGGCAGGAGUCGGUCUACUUGUCACGGACAUGAUGCCUAUAUACAUGAUCAUACCUAGAUAUUCUCAUAACUAUGCUCAAUUCUAUCAAUUGCUCGACAGUAAUUUGUUCACCCACCGUAAUACUUAUGCUUUUGAGAGAAGCCACUAAUGAAACAUAUGGCCCCCGGGUCUAUUUUCCAUCAUAUUAAUCUUCCAACACAUAGCCUUUUCUAUUGCCCUUUUUAUUUUACUUUGCAUCUCUAUUUCUCUUUAUCAUAGAAAUACUAAAAAUAUUAUCUUAUCAUAUCUAUCAGAUCUCACUCUCGUUAGUGACCGUGAAGGGAUUGACAACCCCUUUAUCGCGUUGGUUGCGAGGUUCUUAUUUGUUUUGUGUAGGUGCGUGGGACUUGAGCGUGGCCUCCUACUGGAUUGAUACCUUUGUUCUCAAAACUGAGGGAAAUACUUACGCUACUUUGUUACAUCACCCUUUCCUCUUCAAGGCAAAAAACAACGCAAUGCUCAAGAGGUAGCAAGAAAGAUUUCUGGCGCCGUUGCCGGGGAGUUUACGCAAAAGUCAACAUACCAAGUACCCAUCACAAACUCUUAUCCCUUGCAUUACAUUAUUUGCCAUUUGCCUCUCGUUUUCCUCUCCCUCGCUUCACCCUUGCCGUUUUAUUCGCCCUCUUUUCCGCUCGCCUUUCCUUCGCCAUGUCGGAACCAAAAAGAGUUGGGGGUUCUCUCCCGAGUUUUAGUACUUUGGACGAUCCUUCUAUUCUAUCUAAACUCAUAAAUAAUGUCAUGGUAAAACCUGCCGGAGUUGUCAAUGAGAGUCUUAAUAAUUUUGAUGAAGAUGAUUCCGGAAUUUUUCGUUAUUUACUCGAUGAAUCUUUGAAAGAUGCUUGGGAUAGACUGUUAAGGAUCCGGGCUAACUAUGUGCCCCAAUACCAAAUUGUAGUUUACUUGAAGAGCUUUUAUGUUGCCCUACCUUCUUCGUUUAAGCAUGUCUUAGAUUCUAUAUUUGAAGAAGGCUUUCUUGAAGGGGAUGCCGUAGAUACUUAUGAAAAGAUGAAGACCAUAUUCGGGCACCCCAUGAAUGAGAAAAUUGAAUCUACAUCUCUUUUGCUCUCCAGUCCUUGGUUCAUGUAAAUCUGAAUCUAGCCGGCACUACCCCUUCACAAGCUGUUGCAUAGUCUUCAGCGAGGUGCGGCAUAACUUCCGUGUGAGGGGAAAUGAACUUCUCCAUGAAUACCUUCUCUCUCACCUUGAAAGCGGUAUAGUAGUAGCCUGGGUUGCACUUGAGCAAUCCAUUUUCCAUGAGAAACUUUACAACGUAGUACCUGGGUUUCAUCCAGCCCUCCAGCUUGUAAUUGAUAAUUAUUGACCGUUGAGCAACGUAGGUAGGUUCCAACCUGUUAGACUAUGUAUAGCUUCUGUACCUAUGUACGUAUAUGGUACAUAUUGUAACACAACCAUUAUAUAUAAUGAGAUAAGCCACCCCUAGAGGGUUGUGCUGGUUCCCCAAAACUUAUUGUCUUACAUGGUAUCACGCUAGGUUACGAUCGCUUCCGCUUCUAAACCCUAAUACCCGCACCGCCGCCGCAGCCGCCGCCGCCUUCACCGCCGCCGCCGCGCCACCGAUCGCGCCGCCGCCAUGUCGAGCGCUGCCACCACCGGUUCCACUGCUGCGGGCUUCCUCCCGGCCUCUCUUGCGGCUCUGCUCAACCUCCCGCUCGAUGCCGUCUCUGUUCCGGCUCCGAUCGGGACAAGGAGCAUCGGCUCCGUCUUCUCCAUGCCGCCGGCGCCCUCGCUUGGGCGUGACCUCGUGGUCCACACCGCGGCGCCGCCGUCCGCUGCGGACUCCGCAGGCAUCGUCCCGCCGCUCCUGCCGCAAGCGGAUCACACUGCCCCGCUGGCGGGGUUGGCGGCGUCCGCCCCGGCCGCGGGCCUUGCGGCGUCCGCACCGGCCGCGAGCUUUGCGGCGCCCGCCCUGGCUGCGGUCCCGCCUCCUCCCGCAUCGGCUUCGGUGCCUCCAGCUGCCUCCAUGGUGUUUGCACCCCAGGCAGCCUCCUCGAUGGGAUUGUCUUCGCCGCUGCCGUUUCACUUCGGUCAUCUCAUCACCAUCAAGCUCUCCGCCGACAACUACAUCUUCUGGCGUGCGCAGGUUCUCCCGCUCUUGGGGAGUCACUACCUGCUAGGCUACAUCGACGGAUCGCUUCCCUGCCCACCCGCGCUGGUAGACAGCAUGCACGGUCCGGUCUACAAUCCGGCCCAUCGCGUCUGGACGGGGCAGGACCAGGCGAACCUCUCCUCCAUCCAGGGGUCGCUCUCGCCGGCAGUUGUCGGCCUUGUUGUCUUCGCGAAGACGUCUCAUGAGGCCUGGACCAUCCUUGAGCACACCUUUGCAGCGCAGUCCCAGGCUCGUGUCUCUGCACUCCGUCGUCAGCUUGGAGAGUGUCAGAAGCUUGACUCCACUGCCACUGAGUUCUACAACAAGGUCAAGGGCCUCGCCGACACAUUGGCCUCCAUUGGACAGCCCCUCACCGACUCCGAGUUCAACUCGUUUAUUGUCAAUGGUCUUGAUGAGGAGUAUGAUGCCUUAGUCGAGAUCAUCAACGAGCGGGGCAACUCGACACCCAUGCUGGCACACGAGGUUUUCUCUCGGCUCCUUCUCACUGAGCAACGGGUCGAGACUCGCCGCACCAGGGGCACUGGCUCCCUCUCGGCCAACGCCGCCACCAAGGGUGGCCGCUCUUCUUCAUCACCCCGGUCUCCCUUGGGGCUGCCACCGUCGCCCUCCUCGGCCCCCCACCUACUGCGACCUUACCGGGGGCUGGCGUUCCACGUGUGUGUCAGCUUUGUGGCCGCGAUGGGCACUGGGCCUCCAAGUGUCAUAAGCGCUUCCAGCGAAGCUUCCUUGGUCUUGGCAAUGACGGCAAAGAUACACGCAACAAUGCCCGUCAGGUCGCCAUGGCUGAUCGUCCCGCGCCGCAGAAGCAACAGGGACACACUCAGUCCUACUCCAUCGAUCCACACUGGUACAUGGACUCUGGGGCGAUAGAGCAUCUAACCAGCGAGAUGGGGAAGCUUCACACUCGUGAACCCUAUCAUGGCUCCGACAAGAUCCACACCGCCAAUGGAGCAGGUAUGCACAUCUCUCAUAUUGGUCAAGCAUCUCUUCUCACUAGACAUGCCAAUAGGAGUCUUCAGCUUCGCAAUGUUCUUCGAGUUCCAUCUGUGACCCGUAAUCUUCUUUCAGUUCCUAAACUCACACGUGAUAAUAAUGUGCUUUGUGAAUUUCACCCUUUUGAUCUUUUUAUUAAGGAUCGGGGCACGAGGGACAUUCUUCUUAGUGGGCGGUUGUGCCAGGGCCUCUACCGUCUGGAGCAUCCUGGUGUCGCUCGUGUUUUCAGUGGAGUUCGGGUCUCUCCGUCACAGUGGCAUGCUCGUCUUGGUCACCCGGCCACACCUAUUGUCCGUCAUAUUUUGCGUCGUCAUGAGCUUCCUAGUUUGUCUAGUCAUAAAGAUGUAGCAGUGUGUGAUGCUUGUCAGCAGGGGAAGAGUCAUCAACUUCCUUUUUCGGAGUCCAGUCGUGAGGUGAAACAUCCUUUAGAACUUGUGUUUUCAGAUGUAUGGGGUCCUGCUCAGACUUCUGUCAGUGGUCAUAAUUACUAUAUCAGUAGUCGCUUUACCUGGCUUUACCUUAUUAAACGCAAAUCUGAUGUGUUUGAUAUUUUUGUUCAGUUUCAAAAACAUGUUGAACGUCUUCUCAAGCACAAAAUUGUUCAUGUCCAGUCAGACUGGGGGGGCGAGUAUCGCAACCUCAACUCUUUCUUUCAGUCGCUUGGGAUAGCUCAUCGUUUAGCAUGUCCACAUACACAUCAGCAGAAUGGUUCAGUCGAACGUAAGCAUCGUCAUAUUGUUGAAGCUGGUCUUACUCUUUUGGCCCAUGCAUCUAUUCCGUUUCGGUUUUGGAGUGAUGCUUUCACCAUUGCAUGCUUUCUCAUCAACCAUACUCCUACUCGUGUUUUAAACAUGAAGACUCCCAUUGAGGUUCUCCUUAAUGAACAACCUGAUUAUACCUUUCUCAAGGUAUUUGGGUGUGCUUGCUGGCCGCAUCUUCGUCCAUAUAACAAGCGCAAGCUUGAGUUUCGUUCUAAGAAGUGUGUUUUUCUUGGCUAUAGCUCUCUUCAUAAAAGUUACAAAUGUCUUCAUGUUCCCACUAAUCGUGUCUAUAUAUCUCGGGACGUCGUGUUUGAUGAGCAUGUUUUUCCCUUUGCCAACCUUCCUGUGUCCACUGUCGAACCACCAUCCCUGCAUUCAUCCUCUGUUGCUUCUGACCAAUUUGAUGAUGUUGCAUACUCUCCUUUGCUGUUACCUAACCAUCUCCACUGCUCGGUCCGUUUCGCCAGCGGCCGCCGAGUCGCCCGCGACUCGGCCCGUCACGCCGUCUUCGCCUGCGGCUCGGCCCGUCACGCCGUCUUCGCCCGCGGCUCGGGUCCUCAUGUCGCCUUCAUCAGCGGAUCGGCCUGCGACACCGGCCGCGCCACGGCCCACUAUGCCGAGCUCGCCAUCGGCCCGGUCUGUGAUGCCGGAGUCGCCAGCUGCUUCGUCUGCUCUGCCGGUUUCGCCGGUGGGUCGGCCUUCUUCGCCAACCGAGUCCGAGGCUACCGUGACUGGCUCCUCGUCACCGGCUGACUCGUCAACGUCGCCGUCCUCCAGCCCGUUGCAGGCUGCUCCGUCGACCUCGGUGGUUCCUGUGUCCCGACCACAUACAUGCAGUCGCAGUGGCAUUUUCAAACCUAAGGAACGUAAGGAUGGUACGGUUGCUUGGUUGGCUGCUUGUUUGGCUGCUGCUGUUGCGGAUCCAUCUUCUGAGCCUCGCUCAUAUCAGGCUGCCCUGCGCAUUCCACAUUGGCGAGAGGCUAUGGAGCAGGAGUUUCAUGCUCUUCUUCGUAACAAGACAUGGACUCUCGUUCCUCCACCACCACGGGUAAAUGUUAUUGAAUCAAAAUGGGUAUUCAAAGUGAAGAAGCAUUCGGAUGGAUCUAUUGAGCGUUACAAAGCGCGACUUGUUGCUCGCGGUUUUCGGCAGCGUCAUGGUCUUGACUAUGAGGACACCUUCAGUCCUGUCGUCAAGCCUACCACUAUUCGACUUCUUCUCUCCAUUGUUGUUUCUCGUGGUUGGUCACUUCGUCAACUUGAUGUGCAGAAUGCUUUUCUACAUGGAUUUUUGGAGGAAGAGGUUUAUAUGAAACAGCCGCCUGGUUUCUCUGAUCCUGAUCGUCCUGACUAUAUCUGUCGUCUUUCCAAAGCACUAUAUGGUUUGAAGCAAGCUCCUCGUGCCUGGCAUGCCUGCCUUGCCUCUGCCCUUCGUGCUCAUGGGUUUGUGCCGUCUACUGCUGACACUUCGUUAUUUCUUCUACAGAAGCCAGAAGUCACUAUGUAUCUUUUGGUAUAUGUCGAUGAUAUUAUCCUUGUCAGCUCUUCUCAGUAUGAUGCUGAUGCUCUUGUCUGCUCUCUUGGUGCUGAUUUUGCGGUCAAAGAUCUUGGGAAGCUUCACUACUUUCUUGGAGUUGAGGUCACUUCUCGUGCUACUGGUCUUGUCCUUACGCAGAAGAAGUACUCCUUGGAGUUGUUACAGAGAGCUGGCAUGCUGAAGUGCAAACCGACCACCACACCCAUGUCGUCUACCGACAAGAUAACAGCUGCUGAUGGUGAGCUUUUGUCUCCUGCGGAUGCCACAGAGUACAGGAGCAUUGUUGGUGGACUUCAGUACUUGACGAUCACGAGACCAGAUAUCUCUUAUGCUGUUAACAGGGUUUGUCAGUAUCUUCAGGCUCCCAGAGAUACUCAUUGGGCUGCUGUUAAACGCAUUCUUCGUUAUGUUCAGUUCAUCCUGACAUUUGGUAUGCAUAUUCGGCCGACUUCCUCUCGGGUCCUUUCGGCCUUCUCUGAUGUAGAUUGGGCUGGUAGCCCAGAUGACAGACGAUCCACGGGGGGUUAUGCAGUAUUCUUUGGCUCUAAUUUGAUCGCCUGGAGUGCUCGGAAACAAGCUACUGUGUCACGUAGCAGUACUGAAGCUGAGUACAAGGCUGUGGCUAAUGCUACUGCAGAGAUUAUUUGGGUGCAGUCUUUGCUUCAGGAGUUGGGUUUGUCUCAACCACAGCCUCCUAUUCUUUGGUGUGAUAACAUCGGUGCUACAUACCUUUCUGCAAAUCCAGUAUUUCAUGCCCGAAUGAAACACAUUGAAGUUGACUAUCACUUUGUACGGGAACGUGUAUCACAGAAGCAACUCCAGAUCAAGUUUAUCUCAUCUAAGGAUCAACUUGCAGACAUCUUCACUAAGCCUUUACCGCUGCCACAGUUUGAGGCUUGUAGGCGCAAUCUUACCCUUCUCAGUUCUUUAGAAAGUGGCUAAGAUUGAGGGAGGGUGUUAGACUAUGUAUAGCUUCUGUACCUAUGUACGUAUAUGGUACAUAUUGUAACACAACCAUUAUAUAUAAUGAGAUAAGCCACCCCUAAAGGGUUGUGCUGAUUCCCCAAAACUUAUUGUCUUACACAACCCCACCUCAGAGAUGAGGAAAUCAGACCUGCGCUGCAGUAAUUCCUUUGACUUCCUCAGCAGACACGGAGCGUUACACACAACAAUGCUCACCUCAGCGUCUGACCACCUGAACAUCUUCUUCAAGUAGGCCACAUUGGCGGCGAUCUUCUCCUCGCUGAGGAAUCUGACAGUAUCCAGCGUGUGCCUGAACAUCCUGAGCCACGAGGCAUGCCAAGGCCUUCGGCGCAUGCCACCAUCGCCCUGACGUGUUCUGGCUUGUUGCUCAGGACACCCCGCGCGCGGAGGGACAACUUGGUGAUAUCGCAAUCAUCUAGCCCGCAUUGCCGUAGGAGCGCGACGUUGGGUUUGACCAUCUCCUCGAUGCUGUGUUUUGGUUUUCGGUUUGCGUUUUUUCUCGCCCCUGAACGAGAUGGCCGAAAUUCGGCCAUUUCAAAAAUCUCGGUAAAAUCUCGGACGAAAUUACAAAACCAAAAUUUGAAUUUUAAACGAAAUUUGACUAAAAAUUGGCCGAAAUUCGGCCGAAUUUUUUGAAAACAAGCAGAGCAAAUGUACAGCAGUCGAACAACACUGAGGAGUACAUGUAUGCGUUACCAAACUAGCUUUGGGGAUUAAUAACUCCAAAAGAAAAGAUUGAAACAAGGAUACAGAGAGGUGAUCCAGAGUUGAGGAGUUCCCGAUGGAUUCAGCCGCAGCCCGCAGCCGGCAGAGGUCAGCAGCAGGGGCCGGUCGUAGGAACGGCGAGAACGGGGUAGGAGCCGCAUGCUCGAGCGGGGAGGCAGGUGCCGACGAGCGGAGGAGCCGCGUAUUGGCGCAUCGCCGCCGCCGCAAACACAGGGGCCGCAGGGGAUCGUGGUUAGUUUAGGGUUCACGAGUUCGGUUCGAUGCUUUUAAUCCAGGCAAACCGUGGGGAGGCCCAGAAGUUGGACUGGGCCAGAAAAAAGUUUCAAUCUGGGCCGAAAGUUUUGGCCGGCACAGACAUUUACCGGGUCGAGGCGAGAUGACCGAAAUUCGGCCGAAAAUUGUUUUUUUCGGCCGAAAAUCAAAACACAGCCUCGAUGUCAGCGCCGGCGAGGUAGCCUUGCUUGAGCACCCGGAAGAGGUUCUCCGAGGAGCCGAAUAGGAGCAGGUAGUACCGCAAAUUGGAAACAAUGGACCUGGAACAGAAGUGGGCGAAGGAGAGCGCGACGAGGCGCACGAUCUCAGUACGCGAGAGGCCGAGGCCGGUGAGCCCACGACGACGGGGGCUAGAGUUUUCUCUACUUUGGCGCAGAGGAACAACGGGUCCUUGGCGACGAGGGCGGCGACGUCGGUGCCGGAGAGGCCGAGGCCGGCGAGGAAGGAAAGGACGGCGUCGGGCUUGGACGAGGACUUGAGGUGGGAGAGCUUGGCGGAGGCCUUGAGUGCCUGGGGUCGGGUGAGGCCGAAGGUGGAGACGAGGUAGUCGUCGACGACGAAGCUAGGGUUUGGGGAAACGCCGGGCGCGGCGGCCGCGGAGAGGGGGCGGUGGAGAGGGGGGCCUGAGAGGUGGCGGGGGAAGAGAGGAGCCGCACGAGGAUGCAGCCACGGAGGCGGAGCAUGGCGGCGGCGGCGGCGGAGAGAUUGAUUCCCUAUGGAGGCGGGUGCGAAUGGGAUGGUGCUUCGGAGGCGGGGAUGCGGCGCCCCGGCGAGGCAGGUGAGGAACGGAGGAAGAGAACAGGAGGAGAGAUCGAAGAGGAUGGCACUUCGGCGGCGGCGGCGGCGCCGCCGAAGAGAUUUUCCGGUCCGCUGUGAGUGGAGAGGAAAAAUGGGAAAUGGCAGGUGCGAUGCGAAUGGAGGCUCCGCAAAUUGCAAUAUCACUGAAUCCCAGGGGUCUUUACGUCUUUCAAAAAUACAAAAUACAUUUAAAAAAACAUACAUAAUACAUUGAGCCUCAUGGAAACUUUCAUAUACACAUGGAAAAUAGAUAUCCCCUCCGUUUAAUAAUGUAGUGCAUAUAGAUUUUUGAAAGUCGGACUUUGCAAAUUAUGAUCAAAUUUAUAAAGCGAACUACUUAUACCUACAUUAUCAAAUAUAUAAAAUAUGAACCUACGUCUUAUGAUGAAUCUAAUGAUAUAUGCUUGACAUUCUAGAUGUAAAUGUUUUUCUUCACAAACUUGGUCAAAUUUUGUUAGAUUUGACUUUUCAAAAAAUCUACAUGCAAUCAUUAUGCAAUCGGUAUUAUAAGGAAAAUGACUUUGAGCGAUAAGAUUAUAUCACAAAAUAAGCUAUUAUACGACUUGUACUUAUCCUAUGAUUUUUUUCUGUAGGUAUAGUACUUCAUCCGUUUUUAUUUACUUUGCAUAUUAGAGUUGACUGAAGUCAAACUUUGUAAAGUUUGACCAAGUUUAUAGAAAAGAAUAUAAAUAUUUACCCUAACAAACGAAAAUCUGCAUCUGAGCCCGGGCUCAGAUGUUCCCGCUCAGAAAAAAAUUCAAAACAAAUUCUAGAAAAAUUCAAAUAAAUCCAAUUUUUUGUGUGGUAGAUAAUUUGAUGCGUGAGGCCCGCUUCAAAUUUCAACUCAUUUGGAUAUCUGAGGAGCUCUCGGCAAAAAAGACAAAUCGGAUCAAAACAGUUCGUGAACAAUAAACUUUUUUACAGACCCGAUUUUGUCUUUUUGCAGAGAGCUGCUCAAAUGUCCAAACGAGUUGAAAUUUGCAGCAAACCUCACGCAUCAAAUUAUCUAUCACACAAAAAAUGGAAUUUUUUUGAUUUUUUCUAGUAUUUGUUUUGAUUUUUUUCGUCGGAGCGAGUGCAGUUGAGCCCGGGAGCCAAAUUGGCUUAUAUGAUGUGAAAGUAUGUUCAAUAAUGAAUGUAAUGGUAUUGAUUUGUUAUUGUACAUGUUAAUAUUUUUGACUAUAAACUUCGUCAAAAUUUAUAAAGCUUGACUUUGACCAAAACUAAUAUGCGGAAUAAAUAAAAACGGAGGGAGUAAAUGGCUAUGUUUUUUUUUGUACGUAGUAAAUGGUUACUUUUUCUGAUUUUUUUUAAAUGGUUAUGCUUGCUAACCAAUCCAAUUCAAAUUAUAUGUCGCUCAAACGGAUGUAUCUAAUUAAUAUGGAUCGGAUGGAGCAGAAAAGUUCAUAUGGAUAUAUAUUUUCUCAAAACUUGAAAGUAUGAUUUCUACAAGUAAAAAAAAAUCAUAUGUGAACUAUGUUUGUUUUUAGCAUUUUGUGUGCGUUCAUGUUUCUUUUUCUCUCUCUUCAUUCUAGCCUCUUUUCCUCCACCUCACUCUGUUCUCACAUUGACAUUGUUGCCUUUUUCAGUGGACUCCUACCUAUCUUUUCUAACUUUUGCAAGGUGAGAAUUGAGAAGGUUAUUAUUCUUUAGUUUUAUGUGUAUAGCUAUCCUAGAGUCGAGAUCAAUUGCAUCGUGUCCACUUAUCCUCUAUAACACUAAGCUUCCUAGUUUUAAAAAGCCCACACUCAAUUAAGGUCUCCAAUUAGAAUUGGAUCAUCCGAUUUUGAACGGGUCAACAAUUUCUCAAAGCUUCAUAAUCCAAUUUUUUUAUACUAUACCAUAUGCUUCCUAAUUUUUAAGGCCUCACAAUUAAUUAAGAUAUUCAAUAUAGAUUGAUCAUCCAAUUUUGACUGGGUCAACAAUUUCUCAACCUCUCCAAUUGAAUUCUUUUAAUUCACUAUAUUCCAAAAUUUUGAAUCUCUUUCAUUCAAUUGAGGUAUUCAAUUUUGAUUUGGUUGAAGAUUUUGAGUGGGCCAAUGAUUUUCAAAUCAAUCAGCUGCAACUGACCUAUAAAAACAUAUCAAUCCCAUGCACCCUUCCACCACAUAGAAAAAAGAAACGUCACCAUGUGAUAUUGUAGUAUCAAUAUAGUACAUGCAACCACCAACGCAGAAAUUUUUCCACAUAAAUAUAGGUUGGUUAGCGGAUGACACAGUCAUCUCCCCACCCGCCUAACUUAAUAUUCCAUCAGUUAUAAAAUAUGAAGGGUAUUAAUUUUGUAGAAAGUAAAACUUCUUUAACUUUGACCAAGUUCAGAGCAAAAAUAUCAACAUCCACAAUAUUAAACAAAAAAAGUAUGGAAAUUCAUUUCGUGAUGAAUCUAAAAAUACUGAUUUAAUCUUAUGAAUUUUGAUAUAUUUCUCUCAAAUUUGAAAAAACUUAAAAGGUUUGGCUUUUCAAAAAAAUACACCUUAUAUUAUGAAACAGAGUGAUUAGUUUCUUAAGAUACCCAAUAACAUGAACGGCGCAGCAAAGCGCGCAGAACCCUUCUAGUUAGUAGUAUAUCUAAGAACAAUUAGCAUCCCAUUGAUGAUCGAUAAACCUUCUUAGUCCAGCUAGUGGUUGGUUGUCUAGAGUAUAGCUGGCCAAAUGGGCCGGUUUUUUCGGGUCGGCCCGUGAGCACGCCGGCACGGCCCACCUUGGGCCAGGCACGGCACGGGCCAAACGAGCCAGGCCCAGCACGCGGCACGCCCUAGGCCGUGCCUGGGCUGGAGGCUGGGCAUGCGGGCCGGCACGGCACGGCCCGAUUAUGUUUUUUAUAUUUGUUAUACAUUUAUAUAUGAUCCAACAUGUAAAAAUAAGCUAAAAACGCUCAAUGCGUCAAAUAAUAGGCUAAAAAUAUGCGGCCCACCGUGCUAAAUGGGCCAACGUGCCGGCUCGUUUACUAACGGGCCGUGCCUGGGCCUGGGGGCGCAGCACGCGGGCCGGCACGGCACGGCACGUAUAGUAAUCGUGCCCUGGCGGACCGUGCCGGACCAGGCACGAUUAUGAUGGGCCGGGCCAUGCCGUGCCGGGCCAGCCCGUUUGGCUAGGUAUGGUCUAGAGAUCUAUAUGGAGUCAGUUGAGAUGGGAUGGUCAGCCAAGUGGGUUGAUCAAUGCUCCUCUUAAAAUUCGAAGCCUAAAGUAGAUGUGCUACUCGAGAAAUAAAAAGACCAACGUAGACCGUACCAACAUCUAAUAUUUGACGUCACAUUUAAAUUUGAUACUAUUCAUACCCAUAAUUGUCCCUUUGCUCAUCGAAUUAUGCAUCUUAUAUAAAUGUUGUAAAUGAUCAAUUUUUAUAAUAAUUUUAGGGUUGUAGUUCGGUGCAUAGGUAGCUCAGAGGAACCAUAGUCAUCGCUUCCUCUCCAAAAAAGCUUAGGGUUCCUAUGCCUCCCGCUGGCGCAGCUGCCGGUCCACCUCGUCUCCGGUGGCCCUAGGGUCAUGGGGACACGGUGAAUCUCAUCCCUUACCAGAGGGCUUCGUUUUUAGACGUUUCUUUGAAUUUUGUUAGGGUUGUGUCUUGCUAAUUAAGGAGGGCAAGACAACGACGGCUUCCUGAAGAUUGAAUAAGAUUCUCCCCGCCUAGCCCCCGUCUCGAUGGCGCAUCUAACAUCGUCGAAGAGUGUGUGGAGGUGUAUCUCCGCCAGAUCUCGCAGGAUUCGGUAGGUGGUUUGUCUUUGGUGGAUCUACUCGGACCCGGUCUUCGUUCGUCUACGUUUGUGUGUCGCUAGAUUGGAUCCUUCCGAUCUAUGGGUCUCUUCAUCGGCGGGGGUUGCUAUUCUAGUGCGCUGGUCCUACGAGGCCUUAGCACGACAAGUUCCCGACUGUGUACUACAAUAAGUUCUGCCCGGCUCCGGGGAGGGAAGGGCGAUGACGACGGUGCGUCUUCGGCUCGUUUUAAUGCUUGUAGUCUUUGCUAGAUGGUCUAAGGAUGAAUGUGAUUUUUAUUAUUCCUAUUGUUCAUUGUAUUGUCAUGAUUGAAAAUGAAUAUAUCAAAUGAUUUCUCAUAGAAAAGAAGCUCAUAAGAACCAUUAAAAGGACAAUCGUGUGGUCUCCCUAGACUUUUUUUUAGAAAAGGAGGAAGACCCCCGGCCUCUGCAUCUGAGCGAUGCAUACAACCACUUUAUUAAUUAUUCUCAAAAGACCUUACAAAGAAAUACAACAAUAAGUCUGAAGCCAUCAUCUAGGCAACAUCUGUUGCUACUCCUAUUCAUUUGAUGAAGGGAUGCUGAUAGUCUGGGCUUAAUACCAAACAGACCUCGCAGCCAAACCUAACAUCUAAGACCUGAGUUCCCAUCCAGGACGCCUGCCGGGUAUGGGUCACCCACCGGUCCGGCACACUCCUCAACAUGGACGCCUGCCGGGUAUGAGGCCGCCGCAGCCACCUGCCACCAAUCCAUCUUCAGAGAUGUAGUGUUGCAUCUACCUUGUCCGGUCUAGCUGCCGUCGACGCCACCACGAUGCCAGACAACGCCACCAUCCUGCGCUCGUCCAUCAACACACGCCCAGCAGCAAGAUCCCGCUGCUCUAUGCCCCUGAGACCCGCCAUUGUCGACGUAUCAGAUGCAACGCCGCUCCUCCUUCGCGAACACCACCUUCUACCACUGGUCCUAUCCCCUCCACCUGUAGAUCCUCUGAACUCCCAACCGAGCCCUAGUGCCCCUGACGACACCUCCAGGAAGGUCACGACGCAAAAAGCGCCGCUGCCGCCAGAUCCGAAAAGGAUUGAAGGUUUUCACCCGGCCGGGGAUCGGGGUGGAUAGAUUGGGCCCUCAGCUGCGCCUUCAUGAAGGAAAGCGGCACCCAUGAGCGUCGCCGCCGCCGGGCCGGCUAGACUGGCCAAGGUUUUCCCCGGACCCAAAGUACACCACCAGGGCUGACCACCACCGGAGCCUGCAGCCGUAAACCACCAGGACGACGACAGAGGCAGCAGGAGAAAGGGGAACCAUUAAAAGGACAAUCGUGUGGUCUCCCUAGAUGGUCCUUGGAGGGAGCGAUGCAAUUUCAUUUCCUUUUUAUUGCAUUCUCAUGGAUCUAUGGGAUACACAGAUUUGGAAUAGCCAUGCGUUAUAUAGGUUUGGAAAAGAUGAAUGGGCAGGACAAAGCCCAUCAAGGUCCACAGUUGGACAUGGUAUUUUUCUCUUCCCUGAUCUUGUGUGGUUGUUACAUUACAACGAGGACUAGAUGCAUUCAUGAACCUGAGGAGACUAUAUACGGUGAUUAUAUCGUGGCUAUCAUAUUUACCUAUUUUACAAAGAAUGAUCGGAUAUAAUUUACUGGUACAAUCCAUUGUGUGCCUUUCACGCUUCCGUCAGUUUAAUUUCCUCACAUUUUAAGUAGUCUUGUGAAGUUGUGAUCAGGUAGCUCGCAAUCUGAAUUUCUGUAAUGAAUUUUUUUUGGUCCAACGAGUAAAACGUAGACUUGGUGACCCUCAAAAGGGAUGAUAUUUUACAUAACGAGUAAAUCAUGAUGUCCUUAGAUAUUUCUUAUGAGUAUUUCUUCUUUUCUGCGGAAAAGUUUCUUGUCUUCCGAACUCUUGGAUGUGGGCAGAACUCUUGAUGAGCCGAGGCACCCGCGGCAUGCCAUUGUGAGUCAAGUUUGCCAUUGUUUGAUGGGAAGUUUUCAAGUGCUACAUGUAGAAGGACGCUAUAGUGGCUGCAAUCUUGCUGCUAAGUGACACGUACUGUCACCCUGUUUCUAAUGAAAAAAACUGAAGAACAAUGACUCAUUUAAACAUUGUUCAAUUUUGUGGUUCAUGAGCCUUUUCUUCAAAGUUUACUUAAAAGUUGGGUUAUUAGGUAAAAAAUGGUUCCUUUCCUUUUGUGCUUGCAAUUUAUUGUCCUGACAAAAACACUUUUUAUUGCAGUGCUAAGAAAAUGCGUCUACUACUUGACUGAACUAAAUACUCUUGAUAGCAAACCCUCUCUGGGCAUAUUCGUAGAUUCAAGGUGAGGAGACAUGCCAGCAUACAGACCAGCAACAUACAUGGCACAUGUACGACGUUCUAACAAGAGCAUAAAGUUGAUUGAUUCUUGAUAGCAUCACCUGAAUAUAUCACUCACGGAUUCAUGAAUGUUCCCCGUUGCAAUGCACGGCCAUUCACCUAGUAAAGGCAAUGAUUUGUUGGUAGUAGAGGCAUCUCAUGUUUCAAAGGGUUAAACCUUAGCCGUCGUGACCCGGCUCCAUGGCUGGGUCAAUCUCGCACCUCUGUUGGUGCCGAACCCUAGGCAAAUUCCCCCAAAUCUCUUGUUGUUUCUAUUGAUUGACCGAAUGUGAGGAGCAAUAGUAGAUCAAUAACUCUCGUAUAACCGAGGGAAAAAGAAAUGAAGAGAAGUUGGCGAAAGUAUCAAGUGGUACAUCUACUUUUUAUAACAUCACAUGAAGCCGGCGAAAAGGAAAGCCGAUCAACGAAGAAACUGCAUAGGGGACCUAUCAUGAGUGAACAUUGCGUGGGCGCCAUUGGCCGCAUCUCAUCAUCUUGUUGUGUAGAAGAAGAAAUGACUGCCGAUGCUGCUGGUGCCUCCAUCUCUAUGACCUUGCCGUCCAAGCCCGCAUUAGCAACAAACACGUAGCACUAGAGCACGGGAGGAGAGUUGAUCAGGGAAAUCGCCUUUCUUGACGACAGGAGAAUUAGUGAUGGGCGACUCCACGCGACGCUGAUGUGAUUUCAGGCCACACUAAAGGAUGUCGGAGAAGGGGGCCAUAGGACGAACUCAACCGCAUCGGUAGUGGGCUUGGUGGAUAUUGUGUCGAGGGCUCGGGGACGCACUCGGUGAUGGUGGUGGACCUCGGGGAGGGGGGCCUCAUACACGUGGAUGCAGGGGAAAAGAGGGUGCACGGGCUUGAAGGCAUUACUCAUCCACCUCUUCUGGCAAAGAGAGCUCAUCGGGGCCAACCGCGUGAAGGAGGAGCUUGAGGUAGCUUGGAGGAGGCGACGACGACAACCAGAUCCAUCUGGCAAGCCAGAGUGGAGGCAUCCCACGUGGGAGCAGUGAUUUCGGUGCCUAAGCUUAGAUGCACCUGCUAUUAUGUUUGUUCAUUGCUGCAUGGAGAUUCAGGAAAUGGGGCAUGAGGUGGCAUUGCUAGGGCGUGGAAAAUCCCCAAAAUGAACUAUACAUGCAUGAAUAGUGUGAUACAUGUGGGUCUAUCGUGUAGCACACGAGGAGGGUUCGAACGAAGGACAGACGGUGCCAUCUUGGUUGGAUUCUGAUCCAUGGCACCUAAUCGUCUGCAUUCAUCUAAGUCGUGGCUCACUCUGCUGCCUGUGGCAUGACUUUGACACUUUGAAUCCGAGUCAUGGCCUAAAGAUUUGUGUAGCUCCAGUUGGGGCCUGCGGUGUAGGAUCGUCGGUACGCACACCGAAUGUCAUCCACGACCGACGUCGGCCAACAGAUUGCUAGCUUACUAGACGCUACAAGAGGUAGCGUCCUUCGUGAAGUUUGUGUGCUUCAACACCAACCAGGUCAUCCUAAGCCGUCAUGGACAACCCAUUCAUCUACGUGGUUGACUUCAACAUUGGAGACGACUUCUCAUGGUCGUUGCUCAUGUCACACCUUGCUCACCAUGGCAACAAGCUGUUUCAUGUCACGUCACUUGCCACCACAUUAAUGCACCGCGCGGAUACGCAUGCACCUACAAUCGUGCAUGGUGUCCCUCAGAGUUCACGCGCGUCCCUAGGGGCUCCCAUUCCAGUACGACGAGAAGGACCUCCUGGUCUGGGCUGGAAGUCACGUAAUGGUACCUACAACAAUCUCGAAAAGAGUAGAAGGCCUGGAUUUCGAGAGCAUCUGAGCUCGCACUUAGAAAUCUAUUUUUGUUCCCACGGUCCAUACAUAGAGAGAAACUAGAAAAGAAAAUGCAAAACACGCAUACAUGCAUGCAUGCUUCCACAAAUGGGUUACCAGAUACCUUUCUGGGGCUCUGGUGACCUCACAUUCAUUGUUGACCCCUUACGACCUCACAAUCAUGGGAGAGAUUUCAUGACCGCACACUGUCUCUAUAAAAGCCUAUCACCUCUAUGAAUCAUGUGGCUCCAUCAUUUCAAAUCCUCCGCGCGCCUAAGAUACCACUUGAGAAAUUACUAAUGGCCAACGGAAAGAAUGUCAUGGCCAUGUUGUUUCUCACCACCAUUGUGGCGGUGGCGGCCACAAGGCCAGCCGAGACCUAUGGCGCUGCGGAGGAGAACACAUUGAAGAUGGCUACCCCCAGCAAGAAAGGGGUUGACGCUACCUUAGCAGCUACACGUGUUGUUGCCGCCGAGAAGUCCAUCAAGAAGGCUGAAAGCGCCACCACACCAGAAGAGGCCGCGACUGCCAAGCAAGAUGGAGCAAAAUCUGCUUCUGCUGCAUUAAAGUACAAUGCCAUCUCUCAGCAGGCAAAUGGUAAAGGUUCUUCUACCUCCCUAGGCAGGAAAGAAGCAGCCGGUACUUUAGCCGCCGCACACUAUGCCGCCGCCGAGAAGUCCAUCAAGAAGGCCGAAACCGCCAAGACACCUGCAAAGGCCGUGGCUGCCAAGCGAGACGCAGCAAAGUCUGUUGACAAUGCAUUAAAGUAUGAUGCCAUCUCUCGGAAAGCAGCUGGUACAAGUUCUUCUACCUCCCCCAAUAGGAAAGAAGGCACCACUGAUGCUGCUAAGAUGUUCACCAAGAAGGCUGAAACCGCUACCACACCUGAAGAGGCCGCGAAUGCCAAGCAAGCUGCAGCCAAGUCUACCGCUGCUACAUCAAAGUAUGGUGUCAUUUCUCAGCAAGUAGCUGGUACAAGUUCUUCUACCUCCCCUAGCAGGAAAGAAGCUGCCGGUACCUUGGCAGAUGCUCACAUAGCUACUGCCGAGAAGUCCAUCAAGAAGGCUGAAACCGCCACCAGACCUGAAGAGGCAGCAUCCGCUAAGAAGGAUGCCGCGAAAUCUGAGGCUAAUGCAAUGCAGUACGGGGCCAUCUCUCAGCAGGCCACCGGCAAAAAUGGUGCCUAAGUGGUGCCUUAAACACCUAUUCACGCGCAACAUCAUCUACAUACUACCAUGCACGCAAAAUAGCAGCAUUGAGAUACCACGUUAUGCUAAUUCUCAUGCAUGCAUGCUUUGUUUAAACGUUCACAUUAUGAAUCAUGUAUUAAUGUCUUGCUUGUUUUAUUUUUAGUAGUAAGACACGCUUGACUUGCUUUAAAAAAAAUACAACAAUCGAUGUAUACAUGUAUCAUCUGAAAAUUAAUAAUAUGAGUUCCACCACAAUUUGUGUCUUUUUGUCAUAUUUUGGGUGCAAUCAAUGCACACAUCCAAUACACAAAAUUGGACGAGUCAAUGUGUUAUGGCUCCAUGGAGCGGCGAAUCAUGUUUUAUUGUCUUGCUUGUUUUACUUUUAGUAGUAACUAG